RNAcentral lists this long non-coding RNA (50812 nucleotides) under Hordeum vulgare. RNAcentral describes it as "long non-coding RNA (HVUL_LNC020883)". Lineage: Eukaryota; Viridiplantae; Streptophyta; Magnoliopsida; Poales; Poaceae. The record is from RNAcentral.
AGGGAACCAGCCCCUAGGUGGGCUGGUGCGCCCCCCACCCAGCCCAUGCGCACCAGAGAAAGGGGGAAGGGGGAAACCCUAGGCGCAGUUGAGGCCCAAGGCCCACCUAGGGUGCGCCCCCCCUUUCCCUUCCCUGGCCGCCGCCCCCCUCCCAUCUGGUGGCUGCCGCACCACCUAGGGGGGGAACCCUAGGGGUGGCGCACCCCCUCCCCCUCCUCCUAUAAAUAUAGAGGGGUUUUGGCCAUUGGAGAACACACUUUGCCCUCUCUCUCGGCGCAGCCCUGCUCUUCUUCCUCCUCCUCUCCGCCGGUGCUUGGCGAAGCCCUGCCGGGAGACCUCGUCUCUCCAUCGACACAACGCCGUCGUGUUGCUGGAGUUCUUCCCCAACCUCUCCCUCCUCCUUGCCGGAUCAAGGCGCGGGAGACGUCACCGGGCUGCACGUGUGUUGAACGCGGAGGUGCCGUUGUUCGGCACUAGAUCAGAAUCGCUGCGAGUACGACUCCAUCAACCGCGUUCUAGCAACGCUUCUGCUUAGCGAUCUUCAAAGGUAUGAAGAUGCUCUUACCCCUCUCUCGUUGCUGGUCUCUUCAUAGGAAGAUCUGAAUAUGCGUAGGAAAAUUUUGAAUUUAUGCUACGUUACCCAACAAUAGGUGGUAGCGCGUGUGACUUGGGAGGAAACGGGGGACGGGAAAACGUUUGAUCACGUUGCAUCAUACGCUCUGCGUGCAAACGGCCAAAGUUUCAGCUCGUGUGCCGGAUAUAAGCGUUUUCCUUAGCAUAAUGCGUUGGAUAUGUUAUUGAGUCUCGAGGCCGUGUAUAUAUUGAAUACAAAAUUUGGAGGACAAGACGUCUCCUAGAGAUAACAUGGAAACAAUUUCUAUCUAAUCAAGGACAAUCUCUAAAUACGAAGGACGCCGAUAACCAUCACAUGUGUGGUGGGAGCAAUACCCGAUCACACGCCCAUGAUCACAGAUUGGACCAUGUCAUCGCAUGCAUGCACAAAUGACGAGAUUGAUGAUGUCUAUAUAAAUCUUUUGUCUUUUCAGUUUUUAAAUGUUUUAUUUCUUAAAUAAAAAAUCCGAUUGAAAAACCAUUUUCAUCAUUAAAUCCGUCGUCACGAGAUCUUCAAAACUAGAUUUCAUAUCGAUAUGUUUCGAUUAAUUUUUUGGUUAAAUUGUCAUGUCUAUUUCACAUAAAUUGUCAUCAUGAUUACAUUAAAGUUACCAUGAUAUAUUUCAACUACUUUUUCUUUUUUUAAAGUAAAUUUUCACAUGUUAUAAAAGAGGAAUUAAGAAACUGAACUUGGCAUGAUGAAUUACUAAAUGUUGCCAUGAUCCAUGAAAUAAUUUUGACAUGGUUUAUAAAUAAAAAAGAAAUAUAUCAUCAAUUACUUUAAAAAUGCAUGGUCAAUGGCUCAAAUUUGCAAUGGACCAUGAACUAACAUUAGUAAGAUUGCUCAGAUAAAAGUAAUGUAAAACCCCUUUUCAUGAAAAAUAUCUCAUAAAAAGAAUACUAACAUUUUUACAUACUAAAUAAACAUUCAAAGUUGUGCCUUAAAAAGUGUCCAUGUCUACAAGGUAGUGUAUUUCAAAACGCGAGUAUUUGAUUUUGUUGUGAACUAAUCUUGAAUUAUAAUCCACACAAAAGAACCUUUCAUCAAUGUCUGAAACAUGAUCAUAGUACAAGUAGUUAGUACACAAUCAUGGACACAGAUAGACCAUUAACUAGCAAAGAGCAAGUAAAAUGGCAAAGUGGCUAGCACAUAUAGACCAUUAACAUAUUCCCAAAGGGGGGGGGGGGGGGGGGAAACAACCUCUGUUUUUUUCCACAAUGGAAGAAUACCAGGAUAGCACAUGGAUACAUGUUCAGAGGGUUUCCAGUUUUUACUUGUGCAGUUCAAGCUGCAAUUAAAAAUUAAAAGUUCACUUGCUUCCAUUGCUAGUUUACAGAGCACAUGUACUAACAAAUUCACAGUUUACAGUGGAGACCAGGGAGAAGUGAGAAAAAAAAUCUGUAUAUAUGGAGCAUGUGGCAUGCCUUCGUGACGAAAACAAUCUAACUAGUGUAGCAUAGAUCUUCUCUUCUCCCUCGCAUAGAGGACAGGAAUGGGCAUAUCUAUUCUGUCAGCUUGAAAACAGGGGCGAAACAAAAAUGCUGGGAUUUUACAGUGAGAGCAAAAGUUUGAUCCAAACAUCAUGCCCUUCUCCGCUACUGAGUCCAAGGAAGGUUCCCAGAGUAUGGCACCAUGCCACAAUAGGAGAAUAGACCCUUCAAUUCAGGGCAGCCAUUGGGGUAAGGAAUGGUACGGUGAAACGGGUCUCUCUUGAGCCUCUUUACACGAAGAGAACCAACACAUCCAUAUGGAUCUUCUUGGAACUGAGACCUGACAGAGGCUUCACCUUUCAGAGCUGCCUCCUUUGCUGUAGCUGUAGCUGGGGUACCUGAGAAGAAGAACCUUUCUUCUGGGAACCCGAGAGCAGAUCUGUGCAGCUGCGCAAACCUUUCCUCCUUAAAAUCAUAGCUUACAACCUAAGCAACAAAAUGUUCAGAGUCGCAAAUUAACAAACUAUCAGACAUUGAAGAAUUAAUUGAAAGUACAGAAAAAAUGCAUUACCAACAAGUAAUAGGUGAAAUAAGGUUUCAGCAGAAAGCCUUGACAAAAGAUAAGAAAACUUACAGUUAUAUUCUGUGGGUAUGUUCCAGUGAGUUCUCUGAAACGGCAAACACUAAAUAGGAGAUUCUCAAAACUAUCUCGUGCAUGCUCCUCAGUGAGUGCCCGGCUCCUAACACUAUCAUCAUUUCCUGUGCAAGUACAUGCAAACAGUGAGAAACUUUUGCCAGAUGGUUGCCAAAAUAACUAACGAACUCGAAUUGGAUACAUAAACAGCGGUGGUAAUACUGUGUUCAGAUGAGAAAGUAAACAUGAUAAACUUCAGGAAGCAUCAAGCUCUUCAACCCUACAUUCUGACUAUCCAUGUUUCAGAGAUGGAUUUAUGAGCUGAACUAUAUGUUCGACACAAUUAGAGAACUCAUCAGCCAUUUUCCAAUGUCCUCUGCAAAAUACUAUGAAGCAGCUUCCUGUCAACCAUGUUUUCUACAGCCAUUUUAACCAUUUACUUCCACAACACUAGUAAUUUCUAAAUCAUGAUCAUGGAUCAACAUAUAUAUACAGAACCUAAAUCAAGCAUGGUGUUUUCUUUGCAUUUGCAUCAGAGCAACUGAGUUUGUAUGUAGCAGUCAGAACUCAGAAGUAAUUGUACAUCUAGGCCUUGUUGUUUUAAGUUCAUGAUGAUACGUAUGAUUAACAACCGCACAAAAUACCAAUCAGCACCACAUUUCCGAACCCCAUUGUGCCAACAAUAGUCUUACUAAAGCGCGAAAGAAGGAAUGUUCAUGUAACCUGAAACUCACCAAACCAGCCUUCCGACUCUGCGAUAGCCCAGUAGCUCUGCGCCUCGCUCCUCGGCCCUGCAUCUUUCCUCGUCUCCCCACCGCUAAACAAGAGGAGCGCGCCCUGAUCCCUCGCCGCGAUCUCCACCCCCUCCUUGAUGUGCGCCAAGAAGGUGGACGCCUGGCCGGGGUGCUUCUGGUACGGCUCCAAGAACCACGAAUCCUCGCGGUCGAUCUUCCCGCAGCUGGCGCUGGUGUAUAUCGAAUGGCCGGCCACCAUGACGAGGUUGCGGAGGCCCGGAAGCGGGUGCGCCCCGACCCCAUCGCCGCCGCUCCUCAUCGUUCUGAACCGGGUCUCGUACACGGACAGGAGGAUAAGAACGCUGAGCCCGAAUGACAGCAGGAUGAGGGCGACGGCGACGGGGUGCGCCUCGUAGAAGAAGCGAAUCUUCAUCAGCGCCGAGCUGAGGGGGGCAGGGGCGUCGAGAUGCGAGGCCUUGGGCUUGCGGCCCUUGCGGGGGAUCCCGGACUCGAGAUCGUAGUCGGCUCUAGGGUAGCGGAACGACUUGGGGCUCCCGGGGCCGAACCCCUGGCUGCUCAUCGAGCUCGCCGGAACUCCGCCCUCCCCCGGGGCGGGCGGAUCUAGGUGGUGAUGGAGUGGAGGAGAGGAUUUAGAGCGGCACUGGAUCGGCCGGGUUGGAGCUCGGGGAGGGUCAGAGCAUCAGAGCUGCCUUGGGAGAAGAAGGGAUCGGGGGAGAAAGAGACGGAGGUACCGUGCAGGAUGGUAGGGGAAAAAGUCUAGCCGUGGAAGAUUCGAUGAUUCAGAUAGUUCGCUGCCUCUUCGGAGAUGGAGGAUAGAUUUUAUUUUUUAUUUUCUUAGCACUGUCUUUUCAUAUAAAGAGAAUAAGGCUUAUGUAUAAGAGUGUUUUAGUUUUUUUAAAAGAAAUCGUACAAAAACCUCUAAAAAACCCACACGCUCACACUAAUCAACCAAUACCGCCACCUGUGCCCGGCCAAAGGCCAAAGUCCUUUGCUUGAUAUCGUGGAAGGCAAUAGCUGCUACCUCUAGGUACGUGAGGCGAGUUCUACUGAAGAUGCGUUGGUUUCGCUCCUUCCAGAUGUUUCAGAUGGUGUAAAGGAAGCGGCCGCUCAGCCUUCUUCUGUCGUCUUUGGGCAAAUUGGUGGUGAGCGAAUCCCACCAGUCUGAAAUCCCCAUCGAAGGGGGCAACGUGGGCGUGGCCCCAGAGUCCUCUCUCGUCCAUACCUAGACGUGAGACCAAACUGCGGCGGCAAACGGGCAGUCCUUGCAGAGAUGAAUGGCCGUCUCCGGUGCCCCAAGGCAAAGGGGACAACGAUGGUCGUGCGGCCAGCCACGAACGAAAAGCAUGUCGGCCGUGAGGAUUUUCCUGUGAAGCACAUGCCAGCCGAAGAAGUUGCAUUUUGGCUCCGCGUGUGCCUCCCAAAUAUUGGCUGGGAGAACCUCGGGUAGGAUACAGAGAACUGGACCGCGUAGGCCGAAGCUGCAGAGUAAAUGCCAUUGGGGGUCCACCGCCAAGUGAUGGCGUCCUCCUGGUCUGGGUUCAAAGCAACCUGAGUGAUAGCUAAUGCGAGGCAAUUAACUCAUGCAUGUGGGUAGGCAAUGAAAGACGGGCCACUGAUCUGAUCCAGUUUUCCUCUUGGAGCUCCUUCGUCACACUUCUCCGCUUCCUGGUGGCAAUUUUGUACAGCUCUGGGAAGGCCCGGGACAGAGGGCCCCGUCCUGUCUAGUCGUCGUGUAAGAAUAAGGAUUUUCUUCCAUUGCCCAAGGAGAUGGUGGUAGAAGCCCUGAAAAGUGCCAUGUUCGUCUCAUCGCAGGGCACCGCAGAGCCCACCCAUUGGCGGUCAGGAUUAUUCCACAUAAGCCAAGGCCAGCGAAGUCGCAGUGCCUGACCAAAUCUCUCGAGGUCUGUUAUUCCCAAGCCCCCCAUGGGCUUAGGCCGGCAGACAGUCUUCCAGUUCACCAGAGAGUGUCCGCCAGACGCGUUUUUUGAGUCUUCCCACACCAUAUGAAGUUACGAGUGAUCUUAUUGAGCUUCUAGAUUGCCUAAGUGGGAAGCGAGAGCGUGGUGAGGUGAUGAUUUGCGAUGGCGCACAACACGGACUUUGCAAGGAGGCCCUGCCCGGUCGUGCCAGGUUCUUCCCCUUCCAGCCCGGCAACCUGCCCAUUGCCUUGUCCAGAAGAGGUUGGAGGUCAACCCUUCUUAGCCGCCUGUCAUGUAGUGGAAUACCCACGUAUCGACGGGGAACGAGGCCAGCUUGGCCGAGAAGGCCGAGAGGAUGGCCGGGAGAGCAAUGUCCUGGCAGCGAAUGGGAAACAAAUCGAUCUUGCUGACAUUUGUGAUGAGGCCCGAUGCAUCCCCAAAACAGGCAAGGAUCUGAAUGAUGGCAUCGAUUUCUUUUUUGACUGGGUUAGCAAAGAUGCCAGCAUCGUCAGCAUAGAGAGAAACCCUGCAGGAGGCCAACCGCACCAUGAUGGGCUUGAGGAUCCCGGCUUGGGAAGCUGCCCGGAGCAUAAGUUGCAGAGGAUCGAUGGCCAGAAUGAAGAGCAUAGGCGACAACGAGUCACCCUGGCGAAGGCCUUUUCCAUGCGCGAAUGGGGUUCCUGGCUCCCCAUUUAACAGCACCCUAGAGGAAGAUGAAGCGAUGGUCAUGCAAAUUUGGUCCCGCCAGCGCUGUCCAAAUCCCAACUGUUGUAGCUGAAAGUGCAGUCAUGCCCUUAAUCGAGUUUUGGUGUUAAUGACAACACAUACAUAGGAAACUAAUCUUAUUUGUUGAGUGUAUCUCAGGAUGGCUUUUAAAGUACUCUUAGUAGAUCGGGAAUUAUGUGCCAAGGUGGCUUGAGAAGAUCGGGACUUAUAUGUCAAGAAGGCUCGGGAUUGAGAAACAAGAUGAUGUAGCCUAUCCUUUAAUUUACUAUUCUUGAGUAUAGUGAUCCCGCACUAUUAAGAGGGGAUCACGGGUUUUGCGAUGAACUUGCUCAAACUACAUCUCUACUUCUCUGCUCAUNGGGAAUUAUGUGCCAAGGUGGCUUGAGAAGAUCGGGACUUAUAUGUCAAGAAGGCUCGGGAUUGAGAAACAAGAUGAUGUAGCCUAUCCUUUAAUUUACUAUUCUUGAGUAUAGAGAUCGCGCACUAUUAAGAGGGGAUCACGGGUUUUGCGAUGAACUUGCUCAAACUACAUCUCUACUUCUCUGCUCAUGCCAUUUCUCCUUUACUCUUGUUUGAUUCCAAAACAUAACCAAAGCCUCGGACAUCCGGCUCCCUCCGGACGUCCGAGGGCCGGACGCCCGACCACUUCGGAAAACCGGAGCCUUAUACCAGAGUCAAAAUCUCAGACAUCCGGCUUCCUCCGGGCAUCCGAGGGCCGGACGCCCGACCACUUCGGAAAACCGGAGCCCUAUACCAGAGUCAAAAACCUCGGACUUCCGGCUUCCUCCGGUCGUUCGAGGGCCGUACGUUUGACCUCUUUCGGAAAUCCGUUGCCCUUGAACAGAGCUGAACUCUCGGACAUCCGACCAUCUCUUCGGACGUCCGGUCCCUGUUCGACUACACAGUGGCCAAAUGAUAUGAACACUCCUUCGGUCGUCCGACGCCUGUCAGACGUCCGGAAAACGUCGAACGUCCGACCACUGUCAGACUUAAGUGACCCCAACGGUUACUUUAGUCUCCCCACUAUAUAUACCCCCCUCCCACUUUGUGAGAGGGGGUCCAACACAGCAAGAACACUUACAAGAACACUUUCUUCCUCACUCACUCUUGCCUACACCCAAACUUAGAUCCCAAAAGCAUUUGUGAGCCCGUUUGAGUGUUGUUCCAAUCAAAAGAUAGAUCGUCUCCUUCUCCUCCUCUCCACCAAAGCGAUUUGUGAUUUGAGCAAGUUUUGAGCAAUCCCCGUGAUCUUGUUACUCUUGGAGGUUGGAGACUCCUAGUCAGUAGGAGUCUUCGGAGAGGAAUCAAACCUUUGUGAUUACCCCUCGAAAAGUUUGUGAGGGUUUGGAAGCCACCUCAAGGCUUUCCACUAGUGGUUGAGAAACGCCUUUGUGUUGUUGUCUCAAAGGGAGAAUAGGGUUAGCCUUCGUGGCGUUGGUGUGCCUUCGUGGUAACAUCCGCCCCUCUAACGGUGACGUAGCUUCCCUCCAAGGAAGUGAACACCGGGAUACAUCCUCGUCUCUCUUGGAGUUUUGGUUAUCCCUAACCCUAACUCUCUACUUGUGUUAAUCCUUAUUACGUACUUGCAUUUGAUUAUAGUUUACCGGUUGCCUUACUUUACUCUAAAUAGCUUACUCUUUGUCUUUGCAAUUAUUAGGCUCACUCUCAUAUUUCGCACCAUUGCCUAAAAUUGCUAAGUAACUAUUAAAAUUUGGAACUGUACCUAUUCACCCCCUGAUGGGGUCAUAGUCCCAGGGUAGGGUCAUAGGCCUGCCCUAUAGGUCCUACCCAAGGACUACCCUUCUUAAGGGACAAGGCCCUUAGUCAGUUCCGUCUGAAUUAAGAACUUCCCAUCAUCCAGUCCGUAAUGAUUCCCCCCAUCAUCCAGUCGGAGAUGAGCAUUCGGAGCGUAUUAAACUGCCGACUGGAUUCCACUCUAUAUAUCAUAACCUCCCUGGAGGGCAACGGUUGUACGUUUUCAUACACCAUUAUUAGCAUUUAAGGCAUACGUUACCUGUAACGUAGGCAUUUAUUCGCCACUACUCUACCCCUGUGCACCGGACCGUUGUGAAAGGCAGCGUACUCUAUAUAAGCCGCCCCUCCCCACUGGUGCAGGGGUUAGCAUUUCACUAUACCCCAUAUUUCACUCGACAUUAAGCUCCCAAGAGCACUGAGACGUAGGGCUUUUACCUCCACCGUAGAGGGGCUGAACUCAUACAACCUCGCCGUAGCUAAGGCUCUGCCCAUCCUUUCGUACCCUACACAUCUACUGUCAGACUUAUACCCACGACAGUUGGCGCCCACUAUGGGGCAGGCGUCUAAGCGACUUCUGGCGAGUUUGCGACUACAUCUUUUCAUCAUGUCGUCUGGUGGAGAUUUGUGCAUGGGUCAUGAGAUCCUCUUCGGCGCACUCUCCUUCAUCGUCGAUGAUUCGGCAUGGCUACGGGAUGCACCUCCCGACGUCGAGGUGCUCCCCAAUCGCGGGGCUACGCACUUCCGUGCCGGCGCCCGCGGCAUCCUUCUUCUCCAGCAGUCGGCACCGGUGUCGAUCUUCGCCCCCGUCACGCGCCGCAACAAGCGGUCUUGCCGUCCGCGGCUCCAGCGUUGGGUGCGACACGCCCAGGCGCGCUAGAACGCGUCCUCUCAAGUGGCGGUCCUCGAGUCGGUUGUGGUUGCGCCGUCGUCCCAGCGCUCGGACUCAGUUCCGACUGAGUUGCCUUCCCAGUACUUGGGUCGCGGGCCUACAGCCGAAGUUCACAUGGCCAAUUCCCAUGAAAGUCCCCGCCAAACUAGUCGGAACGAGCACGAGGUCGGCGAGUCAUCCGGCGCUCGCCGUCCGCCCCGCCGUUCUGCCAGUCGACGUACUCGUCAGAGCAACGUGGAGGUGUUCCGCACACCCGUCCUCAACCUGGCUGCCGCCGCCAAGAUAGCCGAUUCCCUCCAGCCGACUGAUUCAGAGGCUGGCAGAGGGAUCAAGCAGAUCCGUGCCCUGCUGCACACGGCGCAGCAGCAGAAUUCGGCGGUCUCCCAGUCGCACAACAGGAUCCAAAACAGUUAUGUUCAUGCGAUCACGCAUCGGCCAGUUUUCAGGCCCGAUUCUCAUCAGCGACACACAGGAGGCAGCCGUUCCAUGAAUCACGAAGAUCGUCGCCGUUCACGCACCCCUCCACGGGGUGGGCCCUACGGGCCCUGACAUCAUGAUGAUCGGCGUUCGGUCGGUGACACUUAUGAUCCAAGUCCCGACACAAGAGGGUACAUCGCCCAGAGGAAGGUCGACAGGAGCCGAGCCCACCGUGAUGGUCACGAUAGAGACCGUCCGAGUGGAAGUAGGACCAUCGUCUCUGGCCCCGAGUGUUUCAGUCGGGCCAUCCGUUCGGCUGACAUCCCUCCCAACUUCCGAUUGGCGACAGGAAUCAGCAAGUUUACAGGAGAAUCCAAGCCAGAAACGUGGUUGGACGACUACCGAGUGGCGUUCCAGAUCGGUGGUGGAGAUGACCAGGUCGCCAUGAAACACCUCCCCCUGAUGCUCGAUGGUUCGGCUCGAGCAUGGUUGAACCAGUUGGCUCCUUCAAGCAUCUACAGCUAGGCAGAUCUGGCCCGAGUCUUCAUCAGGACCUUUGAGGGCACGUGCAAAUGCCCUGCUGGUCUCGUGAAGCUCCAGCACUGCGUCCAGAAGCAGAAUGAGCCCCUGCGCGAUUUCAUCCAGCGUUGGGCAACCCUCUACCACACGAUGGAGAACGUCACAGAGCACCAAGCAGUCUGCGCCUUCAAGGCAGGCGUGCGGUACAGAGAUCUGUACCUGAAGUUCGGUCGGACAGGCGACAUCUCCAUGAGCAAGAUGAUGGAGAUAGCGGCACGCUAUGCAAAUGGCGAAGCAGAGAACCGCAUUCGUAGCGGCAAGCAUAAAGCAGUCGCCGAUGGAGAUGGGAACAACACUCAGAAGCAGAAGCAGAAAGCUCCGUCCACUCCGCAGGCAGAUGCUGCAGCCAUUACCAAUGCCAAGUUCAAGGGCAAGGGGAAGGCUCAGUCCACCCCCAAGAAGAAGCAGUUCGAAAACCACAUCCUGGAUCAGCCAUGUCCAAUCCACACGAAGAUGGACAAAGAAGGCAACGCCAUAUUCCCGAAGCAUACCACUCGGCAAUGUCGCCUCCUGAUCCAAGGGUUCGGCGAAGGGCAGCCGAGUGAAAAGGACAAUGAACAGGAUGGUGAGGACAAGGAGGAUCAGUUCCCCCAAGUCCAUGCAACACUGAUUAUUUUUGCUGACGUGGAAAGCAAGAGUCGACUGAAGCUGGUGAACAGGGAGGUGAACAUGGCCACCCCAACCAACCCCACGUUCCUCAAAUGGUCUCAGACUGCGAUCACCUUUGACCAGUCGGAUCAUCCAGCACACGUGCCCAACCCAGGGAGCCAGGCUCUGGUCGUCGACCCCGUGGUGGAAGGAGUUCGACUGCGCAAAGUCCUCAUGGACGGCGGCAGCGGCUUGAACAUCAUGUAUGCCGACACUCUCAAAGGGAUGGGCAUUCCGAUGUCCAAACUUAGCGAGAGCAGCAUGCAGUUCCACAGAGUCGUCCCUGGACGAAAGGCCAAGUCACUCGGCCAGAUCGCGUUGGACGUCGUUUUCGGCUUCGACAAGAACUUCCGCAAGGAAAAGCUGACAUUCGAGGUGGUGGACUUCCAGAGUGUAUACCACGCGAUUCUGGGCCGUCCGGCGUAUGCGCGUUUCAUGGCCCGUCCAUGUUACGUGUACCUGAAGCUGAAGAUGCCAGGUCCCAAAGGUGUGAUCACUAUCACAGGCAAUCGGCAGCGGGCCGAGGAGUGUGUGCAGCAGGGGUUGAGGAUCGCCGAUCAGCAAAUGGCCAUCCUCGAGCUGGACGAGUACAAGAAGACAGUCGACCCCGCUGACUUGAUGCGUUCGAAGAAGCCAACUUCGGAGUCCGCAUUCCAGUCGGCGGGAGACACGAAGAAGGUCAGCAUCCCCCCGACAGACGACGCCGCUGCCCCGACGAACAUCUCCACCACCCUUGAUCCAAAAUAGGAAGCCGAGCUCAUCCAAUUCCUCCGUGAGAACUGGGACAUUUUCGCAUGUAAGCCCGCUGACAUGCCAGGUGUACCCAGGGAGUUAGCUGAGCACCGAUUGCAUGUGGAUCCUGCUGCUCGGCCUGUCCGAGAACGCCUGCGUCGGUCCGCCGCGCGCAAGAGGAAGGCAAUCGGAGAGGAAGUGGCUAAACUUUUGGAAGCCAACUUCAUUCGCGAGGUACACCACUCCGAGUGGCUCGCCAAUGUUGUCAUGGUGCCCAAGAAGGACAAGUCUCUCCGAAUGUGCAUCGACUUCAAGCAUCUGAAUAAGGUCUGCCCGAAAGACCAUUUCCCGCUCCCCCUCAUCGAUCAAAUUGUCGAUUCGACUGCGGGUUGCGAGCAUUUGUCAUUCCUUGAUGCCUACUCGGGCUAUCAUCAGAUCCGUCUGUAUGGCCCCGAUGAAUUAAAAACAGCCUUCAUCACCCCAUUCGGGUGCUUCUGCUACAUCACUAUGCCAUUCGGUUUGAAGAAUGCAGGAGCAACUUUUAUGCGCAUGAUCCAAAAAUGUCUCCUUGACCAGAUCGGUCGGAAUGUGGAAGCGUAUAUGGAUGAUAUCGUAGUCAAGUCACGCAAAGGUUCCGGCCUGCUGACUGACUUGGCAGAAACAUUCGCUAACCUUCGUAGGUACGAUAUCAAGCUCAACCCUGCCAAGUGUUCAUUCGGUGUUCCCAGCAGAAAGUUACUCGGUUUCUUUGUUUCCGAACGAGGGAUCGAUGUCAACCCCGAAAAGAUCGGGACCAUCGUCCGAAUGGAGCGGCCGGUCAGAAUACACAAUGUUCAAAGGCUCACAGGUUGCCUAGCGGCUUUGAGCAGGUUUAUCAGUCGACUCGGCGAGAAAGCGCUACCUCUGUACCGACUCAUGAAGAAAUCAGAUACUUUAGAGUGGACAGACGAAGCCCAAAUUGCAUUCGACGACCUCAAAGCCCUGCUUUCCACCCAGCCGGUUCUUACUACUCCGCUCAGUAAAGAACCCCUUCUUCUGUACAUCGCGGCUACAAAUCAAGUCGUCAGCACUGUUCUCACAGUCGAACGCGAAGAAGAAGGCAAGGCAUACAAGGUUCAGCGGCCAGUGUACUAUGUCUCCGAAGUCCUGACUCCUUCCAAGCAGAGGUAUCCCCAUUAUCAAAAGCUUAUUUACGGGAUUUACAUGACUGCAAAGAAGGUGGCUCAUUAUUUCCAAGACCAUUCGGUGACCGUCGUUUCUGAUGCUCCGUUGUCGGAAAUCCUCCACAAUCGGGACGCAUCAGGCCGAGUGGCGAAGUGGGCAAUGGAGAUGUUAUACUGCGACAUCAAGUUCGAGGCCAAGAAAGCUAUAAAGUCUCAAGCUCUGGCUGACUUCAUAGCAGAAUGGGUAGAACAACAGCAACCGACCCACAUCUACUCGGCUCAUUGGACAAUGUUCUUCGAUGGGUCCAAGAUGUUGAAUGGCUCCGGCGCUGGCGUUGUGAUCAUAUCGCCAAAAGGUGACAAACUCAAGUAUGUGUUGCAGAUACAUUUCGAUUCCUCCAACAACGAGGCAGAGUAUGAAGCUCUCCUUUAUGGAUUGUGCAUGGCCAUCACACUCGGCGUCCGUCGCCUGAUGGUCUAUGGAGAUUCAUAUUUGGUGGUUGAUCAAGUGAUGAAGGAGUGGGACGUAAGGAACCCCACCAUGACUACAUACUGCAACGCAGUGAGGAAGCUCGAGAAAAAGUUUGAAGGUCUGGAACUGCACCAUGUUCCGCGACUGAAAAACCAAGCAGCUGAUGAGUUGGCGAAACUUGGAUCCACUCGGAGACCAGUCCCGAGUGAUGUCUGCCUCGAGCACCUACACCUUCCCUAAGUUAAAGAAGAUCCCUUCACAGAGGAACCAGUACAACCAAAGAGCUCGACAGAUCCGACUGAAGUCGAGGUCCCCGCUGUGGUUGAUCUGAUCAUGGAGAUUCUUGCUAUCAUCCCCGAUUGGACUAUGUCGUUCAUUGCGUACAUCCUAAGGCGAGAAUUACCAGAAGAUGAGGUCCAAGCCAGACAGAUCGUCUGCAGGUCGAAGUCGUUCACCGUCAUUGAUGGCCAGUUGUACAAAGAAAGUGUUUCAGGCGUCCUUCAAUGAUGCAUCUCCCCUGAGGAGGGGCAGUUAAUCCUGGAAGAAAUUCAUUCGGGAACCUGCGGUCAUCAUGCCUCCUCAAGAGCAAUCGUCGCCAAAGCAUUCAGAGUUGGUUUCUUCUGGUUGCAGGCGAAUGAAAUGGCGAAGGAUAUGGUCGACCGAUGCGAAGGCUGUCAGUUCUACUCCAUGGUUAAACUCUUUCAGUCUAGUUUCUACCUCAUCUGAUGAGUACCUUGAUGCGGAGGAUCACUAUGAGGACAAUGACUUAGAUCAUCCUAUGUUUGCCAAAAUAAACAAAUUUGUGUGCUCUCUUAAAGGAAAGAAGCUCACUAUGUUUCGCAUACUUAUGGAAAUGGUGAGUAAGCACACCAAUACCAUCAAGGAACUCGAAACCCUCGUCACUGAGUAGAAGGAAAGGAAUGAAAUCCUUGAGCAGAAAGUCUUGUAUGAGGAAGCACAAAAUGAUGCAUUAUGCUCAAAAGUUGGUGAAAACCUUGAUAAACAUGCUAACGAUCUUGCCUCCUUGAAAAAGGCUGAAUCUGUGUGCAAAGAGUUAUUAAAUGAUAAAAACAGACUUGUGAAUUCUCAUGCUUCUCUUUCUAAGGCCUGUGAGCACCUAUCCUUGUCUCUCAAGGACAAGGAAGAGAAACUCACUGUUCUUACAAAGAGCUUUGAGGCACUCAAGGUUACUUACCUUGACACUCUAGCUAAGGCUUACUCCUCACCUAUUAUUAAUGUUGAUACCUGCACUGCUAACUCUAGUAGUGAACUGGCAUCUAUUCUUGAGGAAAACUGUUCGCUAAAGGCACAGCUAGAUAGAGGUCUCAUGACAUGUGCACAAGGACAAAAGACUCUCAAUGAGAUCUGAAGUCAACGCAAUGAGGUCUUUGCCAAGGAAGGGCUUGGGUUUAAUCCAAGCAUCGCCAAGAAAAGUGUAUCUCCUCUCAAGUGCACCACCCCGCUAACAUUUGUACGAGAGGGACACAAGGAGAAAGGUAAGGUUGUGAGUGGGUCGGCCACUAGGGGUUUGCCCACUCUCAACAGGACAACAGAGUUCAUGCCUCCAUCCUAUGUACUUCGCAAAUCAAAGGAAAGAGAGGUUUAUGCUAAAUUCGUUGGUCCCUGUAAUGCAUUCCGGUUUUAUGCUAUUUGGGUCCCUAAGACUCUUGUAACUAAUGUGAGAGGCCCCAUGACGAAAUGGGCACCUCAAACCAAGUCUUAAUUCGUGUACAUGAUGUUUUCUCCGGAGGAGUCAAAUGGGUGAUCGACAGUGGAUGCACCAAUCAUAUGACCAGAGAUAGUAACUUGCCCUAUGACUUCAUGCAAGCCAUUCCACCAUACAUGAGCAUUAUAUUCGGAGGAGGGUCGAAAGGACAGGUAAUUGGGUUGGGCAAGGUGGCAAUCACUAAUGACAUGUCUCUUGCAAAUGUCAUGCUUGUCCAAUCUCUUCAAUAUCAUUUGCUUUCAGUUUGCCAAUUGGCUUCCCUUGGUUAUGACACACUAUUUGGACUAACGGAUGUGAAAGUCUUUAAGAGAUACACUCUCGAAGUGGCCGUUGUUGGAGAGUUGGAUGGCAACCUUUACACGGUUGAUUUCUCGAAAGAGAGCACUUUCCAUACAACUUGUCUGAUGGCCAAGGCUGACAUGGGAUGGCUAUGGCAUCGCCGGCUCGCCCAUGUCGGCAUGGGAAAUCUUCAAAGUCUCUUAAAAGGCAAUCAAAUCCUUGGACUAACCAAUGUGUCUUUUAAGAAAGAUCGUGUGUCCAGUGCAUGCAUAGCUGGGAAGCAACAUCAAUCAAAACACCCACCCAAGAAUAUUGUAUCCACCUCAAGGCCUUUAGAGCUCCUUCAUGUGGAUCUGGUUGGGCCUCCUUCAUGGGAUAGUCUUGGUGGGAAAAAGUAUGGACUAGUCAUUGUUGAUGAUUACUCAAGAUACACAUGGGUAUUCUUUCUCAAGUCCAAGGAUGAGACGAAGAUCACCUUCAUUGAUUUUGCCAAACAAGUCCAGCGCAAGUUUGACAAGGCCAUCAAGGCAAUAAGAAGUGAUAAUGGCUCCGAGUUCAAGAAUUACACUCUAGAAGAAUUUCUUAGUGAUGAGGGAAUUGAACAUCAGUACUCUGCACCUUACACCCCUCAGCAAAAUGGUGUAGCAGAGAGGAAGAAUCUGACACUUGUGGAAAUGGCAAGGUCCAUGUUAGACGAAUACAAGUCACCGCAUAGUUUUUGGGCUGAGGUUGUCAACACAGCAUGUCAUGCAUCAAACCGGCUUUUCCUUCGACCAAUAUUGGAAAAUACUCCAUAUGAGCUCCUAACCGGGAACAAGCCCAAUGCCAAGUACUUUCGUGUAUUUGGAUGCAAGUGUUUCAUCCUCAACAAACGGGACCGGUUAGGAAAAUUUCAAUCCAAAACACCUGAAGGGAUUUUUGUUGGCUAUGGAUCAAACUCUCACGCCUACAGAGUCUACAACAAAUCCAAUGGAUGUGUUAUAGAAACCUGUGAUGUGAUGUUUGAUGAAUUUAACCGCUCCCAUGGGGAGCAAGUUGACCUAAGUGAUGCAGGUGAAGAAGAUUCCUCGCAAGAUAUCUUGAACAUGGGUGUAGGUGCACUUCUUCCCAUGGAAUAAGAACCUCAUGAUGAUGACUUUCUCAUCCUCAGGACAGUUCACUGCACGUACGUCCACAAGAUACUAGCACACAUAUCAUGUCAGUUGUUCAGGAUCAAGUGGGAGAACAUGUCUCUCACCCUGAUCACACUCAAGAACAAGUUGACCUUCAAGAGCAAGACCAAAGUAUGGAUAUUGUUGAUGAUGAACCUCAACAGGUGCAACGCGAAGAGGAAUAUCUUCCACCGCACGUUAAUGAUCCAUGUGUUGAGGACGAUGAUGAUGGAAACGAAGUCAAACCUCGUGAAACCAUGACCUCCAUCAUGCCACGUGUGGCCGGUCGUGUUGAUGUUGAUCAAAUCCUCACCGGCGUGUCGGAAGGUAGAGUGACUCGUAAACAUUUAACAAACUUUUGUGCUCACUUUUCGUUUGUCUCUAGUACUGUGCCACACAGGGUUCAUGAUGCAUUGUGUGACAAUGACUGGCUCCUUGCUAUGCAAGAAGAGUUAAACAGUUUUACACGCAACGAAGUAUGGUUAUUGGUAAAACGACCAACUGAGGAACACAAUGUCAUUGGAACUAAAUGGAUCUUCAAGAACAAGGAAGAUGAGAAUGGGACUGUCCUCCGCAACAAGGCAAGGUUAGUAGCACAGGGGUACUCCCAAGUUGAAGGUUUGGACUUUGGUGAGACUUUCGCCCCUGUUGCUCGUCUUGAAUCCAUUCGCAUUCUAUUGGCCUAUGCUGCUUUCAUUGGUUUUACUUUGCAUCAAAUGGAUGUGAAAAGUGCUUUCCUUAACGGUCCUCUACAAGAAGAGGUAUAUGUAUCACAACCACCUGGGUUUGUUGACCCCAAUUACAAAGACCAUGUGUACAAACUUCACAAGGCUCUGUAUGGCCUCAAACAAGCACCCCGUGCUUGGUACGAUCAUCUUAAGAAGUUCUUACUCGAUGAUGGCUUUGUGAGAGGGGUGAUCGAUCCCACUCUUUUUACUAAGAGGGAAAACGGUGAUUUGAUCUUAUGCCAAAUCUAUGUGGAUGACAUCAUUUUUGGUUCUCCUAACAUCCAUUUAUGCAAGAAGUUUGCGGCCUCCAUGACCAAGACCUUUGAGAUGUCACUCAAUACGGACUUGAAGUUCUUUCUUGGGUUUCAAAUACAACAAUUUCAAGAAGGAAUUUUCUUGUCUCAAACUAAAUACCUCAAGGACAUUCUAGAAAAAAUUAAUAUGACAAAUGCUAAACCAAUGAAGAUGCCCAUGGCCACAGAUGUUGUUCUAAAUGAAGGCACCAACGGUAUUCCUUUUGACCCAUCUACUUACCGCUCUAUGAUUGGUUCGUUGCUUUAUCUUUGUGCAUCUAGACCGGACAUCAUGUUAAGUGUAGGCAUAUGUGCUAGAUUCCAAGCUUCCCCUAGGGAAAGCCAUCAUACGGCGGUUAAGCAUAUUCUUAGAUACCUUGUUCACACCCCAAAGUUAGGCCUAUGGCACCCUAAGGAUGCAAAGUUCGAUCUCAUUGGGUACUCCGAUGCGGAUUGGGCUGGUGACAAAGUGGGACGGAAAUCCACUUCCGGUGCAUGUCAGUUUCUUGGAUGUUCCUUGGUAAGUUGGUCCUUGAAAAAGCAGAAUUGUGUUUCUCUCUCCACGGCCGAGGCCGAAUAUAUUGCAGCCGCAAGCUGUGCAACCCAACUGCUAUGGAUGAGGCAAACCCUAAAGGAUUAUGGCAUCACCUAUUGACACGUGCCUCUUCUCUGUGAUGAUGAAAGUGCCAUCAAGAUCUCCGAGAACCCCAUUGAUCACCCUCGCACAAAACACAUUAAUAUUAGGUAUCAUUUCUUGAGAGACCAUGUGCAAAAGGGUGACAUUGAUAUUGCUCAUGUGGUUACCGACAUGCAGCUCGCUGACAUCUUCACCAAGCCACUAUGCGUAGCAAGAUUCUGUCAACUUAGGCGUGAACUUGGUAUCUUGGAGCUUGAUAACUGUCACGCCCAAGAUGCGACCCUAUCCUCAAUUUGGCACGAAGGCCUCGUCAGGGAUAGAAGCGCAUCUCGUCAUGUCGCAAGAAUGGAUACCGUUACAAGUACAUGUACUGAAAAGAAGAGAGAUAUAUAUAGAAUUUGGCUUACACUCGCCACGAGCUACAUCAGAGUCACAGUAGUACAAAUACAUAAUCAUCAUGAAGAAGAGCAGGGUCUGACUACGGACGAAAACAAAAGAGAAAAGAAGAACGACGUCCAUCCUUGCUAUCCCAGGCUGCCGGCCUGGAAACCAUCCUAGACCGAUGAAGAAGAAGAAGANAGAAGAAGCAACUCCAAAUGAACAAUCAACGCGCUCGCAUCGAGUAACCUUUACCUGUACCUGCAAUUGGUGUUGUAGUAAUCUGUGAGCCACAGGGGACUCAGCAAUCUCAUUUCCAAAGGUACCAAGACUAGCAAAGCUUAAUGGGUGAGGCAUGGUUAAGUGGUCAGGUUGCAGCAGCGACUAAGCAUAUAUUUGGUGGCUAACUUACGAGUACAAUAAUAAAGAGGGGGAGAUCUAUGCAUAACGGACGUGACUACUCAUGAUCAAAUGAAUGAUCGUGAACACCUACCUACGUCAGGCAUAACCCCACCAUGUCCUCGAUCGGAGAAAGUACUCACGAAAGAGACAGUCACGGUUACGCACACAGUUGGCAUAUUUUAAUUAAGUUAACUUCAAGUUAUCUAGAACCAGUGUUAAACAAGUUUCCACGUUACCACAUAACCGCGGGCACGGCUUUCCGAAAAAUUUAACCCUGCAGGGGUGCUCCAACUAGUCCAUCACAAAUUACCACAAGCCGCAUAGAAAUCCUCGAUCACGACACUCGCNNNNNNNNNNNNNNNNNNNNNNNNNNNNNNNNNNNNNNNNNNNNNNNNNNNNNNNNNNNNNNNNNNNNNNNNNNNNNNNNNNNNNNNNNNNNNNNNNNNNGUAUCUCUGGGCCCACUCGGUAGAACAUCAUCAUGAGCUCAAUGUGACUAAGGAGUUAGUCACACGAUGACGUGCUACGGAACGAGUAAAGAGACUUACUGGUAACGAGAUUGAACAAGGUAUAGGUAUACCGACGAUCGAAUCUCGGGCAAGUUCUAUACCGACAGACAAAGGGAAUCGUAUACGGGAUUGAUUGAAUCCUUGACAUCGUGGUUCAUCCGAUGAGAUCAUCGUGGAGCAAGUGGGAGCCACCAUGGGUAUCCAGACCCCGCUGAUGGUUAUUGGCCAGAGAGGUGUCUCGCUCAUGUAUGCCUGUCUCCCGAACCCGUAGGGUCUACACACUUAAGGUUCGAUGACGCUAGGGUUAUAGGGAAUUGUUAUACGAGGUUACUGAAAGUUGUUCGGAGUCCCGGAUGAGAUCCCGGACGUCACGGGGAGCUCCGUAAUGAUCCGGAGGUAAAGAUUGAUAUAUAGGACGGAUGGUUUUGGACACCGGAAGUGUUUCGGGCGUCACCGGUAAUGUACCGGGACCACCGGAGGUGGCCCCGGGGACCACCGAAGGGGGGCAACGACCCCGGGAGGCUAGAUGGCCUAAGUGGGGAAGGGAACCAGCCCCUAGGUGGGCUGGUGCGCCCCCCACCCAGCCCAUGCGCAUCAGAGAAAGGGGGAAGGGGGAAACCCUAGGCGCAGUUGAGGCCCAAGGCCCACCUAGGGUGCGCCCCCCCUUUCCCUGCCCUGGCCGCCGCCCCCCUCCCAUCUGGUGGCUGCCGCACCACCUAGGUGGGGAACCCUAGGGGUGGCGCACCCCCUCCCCCUCCUCCUAUAAAUAUAGAGGGGUUUUGUCCAUUGGAGAACACACUUUGCCCUCUCUCUCGGCGCAGCCCUGCUCUUCUUCCNGCGCGGGAGACGUCACCGGGCUGCACGUGUGUUGAACGCGGAGGUGCCGUUGUUCGGCACUAGAUCGGAAUCGCUGCGAGUACGACUCCAUCAACCGUGUUCUAGCAACGCUUCCGCUUAGCGAUCUUCAAAGGUAUGAAGAUGCUCUUACCCCUCUUUCGUUGCUGGUCUCUCCAUAGGAAGAUCUGAAUAUGCGUAGGAAAAUUUUGAAUUUAUGCUACGUUACCCAACAGUGGCAUCCAACCAGGUUUUCUAUGCGUAGAUUCUAUGCACGAGUAGAACACAAAAGUUGUGGGCGAUGAUUUGUCAAUUUGCUUGCCGCUACUAGUCUUAUUCUUUUCCGGCGGUAUUGUGGUAUGAAGCGGCCCGGACCGACUUUACACGUACACUUACGUGAGACUGGUUCCACCGACAGACAUGCACAUCGUGCAUAAAGGUGGCUAGCGGGUGUCUCUCUCUCCUACUCUAGUCGGAUUGGAUUUGAUGAAAAGGGUCCUUAUGAAGGGUAAAUAGCUUUGGCAUAUAAUCGUUGUGGCUGUCACGUAGGUAAGAAGGCGUUCUUGCUAGAAACCCAAAUCAGCCACGUAAAACUUGCAACAACAAUUAGAGGACGUCUAACUUGUUUUUGCAGGGUUUGACAUGUGAUGUGAUAUGGCCAAAGUUGUGAUGUUGCAUGUAUAAUGUAUGAGAUGAUCAUGUUAUUGUAAUAGGUUUCACGACUUGCAUGUCGAUGAGUAUGACAACCGGCAGGAGCCAUAGGAGUUGUCUUAAUUUAUUGUAUGAGAUGCAACGCCAUGUGCUUACUACUUUUACUUCAUUGCUAACGGUUAGCUAUAGUAGUAGUGAUAGUAGUAGUUGGCGUGACGACUUCACGGAGACACGAUGAUGGAGAUCAUGAUGAUGGAGAUCAUGGUGUCACGCCGGUGACGAUGAUGAUCAUGCGAUGCCUGAAGAUGGAGAUCGAAAGAGCAAAGAUGAUAAUGGCCAUAUCAUGUCACUAUAUGAUUGCAUUGUGAUGUUUAUCAUGUUUUACAUCUUAUUGCUUAGAACGACGGUAGCAUAAUAAGAUGAUCCCUCUUGAAAUUUCGAGAACGUAUUCCCCUAAGUGUGCACCAUUGCGAAGGUUCGUUGUCUCGAAGCACCACGUGAUGAUCGGGUGUGAUAGAAUCUAAGGUUCGCAUACAACGGGUGUAAGCCAGAUUUACACAGGCGAAACACCUAGGUUGACUCGACGAGCUUAGCAUGUACAGACAUGACCUCGAAUACAAGAGACCGAAAGGUCGAACAUGAUUCGUAUGGUUGAAUACGAUCAGCAUGGAGUUGCUCACCAUGGUGACUAGUCCGUCUCACGUGAUGAUCGGACACGGGUUAGUCAACAUGGAUCAUGUAUCACUUAGAUGACUAGAGGGAUGUCGAUUUAAGUGGGAGUUCAUAUUUAAUUUGAUUAAAUGAACUUAAUUGUCAUGAACUUAGUCUAAAAGUUGUCUUUAUAAAUAUUGUAGAUGUCCAACGUCAACCUCAAUUUCAACGCAUUCCUAGAGAAAAACAAGCUGAAAGAUGAUGGUAGCAACUAUGCGGACUGGGUUNNNNNNNNNNNNNNNNNNNNNNNNNNNNNNNNNNNNNNNNNNNNNNNNNNNNNNNNNNNNNNNNNNNNNNNNNNNNNNNNNNNNNNNNNNNNNNNNNNNNCGAGACACCUCUCUGGCCAAUAACCAUCAGCGGGGUCUGGAUACCCAUGGUGGCUCCCACUUGCUCCACGAUGAUCUCAUCGGAUGAACCACGAUGUCAAGGAUUCAAUCAAUCCCGUAUACGAUUCCCUUUGUCUGUCGGUAUAGAACUUGCCCGAGAUUCGAUCGUCGGUAUACCUAUACCUUGUUCAAUCUCGUUACCAGUAAGUCUCUUUACUCGUUCCGUAGCACGUCAUCGUGUGACUAACUCCUUAGUCACAUUGAGCUCAUGAUGAUGUUCUACCGAGUGGGCCCAGAGAUACCUCUCCGUCACACGGAGUGACAAAUCCCGAUCUCGAUUCGUACCAACCCAAUAGAUACUUUCGGAGGUACCCGUAGUGCACCUUUAUAGUCACCCAGUUACGUUGUGACGUUUGAUACACUUAAAGCACUCCUACGGUAUCCGAGAGUUGCACAAUCUCAUGGUCGAAGGAAAAGAUACUUGACAUUAGAAAAUCAUUAGCAUACGAACAAUACGAUCUAGUGCUAGGCUUAGGAUUGGGUCUUGUCCAUCACAUCAUUCUCCCAAUGAUGUGAUCCCAUUAUCAAUGACAUCUAAUGCCCAUGAUCAGGAAACCAUGAUCAUCUAUUGAAUAACGAGCUAGCCAACUAGAGGCUUGCUAGGGACACAUUGUGAUCUAUUUAUUCACACAUGUAUUACUGUUUCCUGUUAAUACAAUUAUAGCAUGAACAAUAGACGAUUAUCAUGAACGAGGAAAUAUGAUAAUAACCAUUUUAUUAUUGCCUCUAGGGCAUAUUUCCAACACCUAUUGCAUAUGGUGGGUGGGUCUAUGCAGUCUCUUCGUCAGUUGUCCCCUCCACCACUCCUUUCUUCUUCCUCAUCUCUCCGCCGCCAUAACUCAUUUUCUUCUCCAUCAUCUCCGACGUUCCCUCUCUUUCCUGCUGCAGCACCUUUGGCAUACGCACUUGGCAAGUGUGCCGCGACGAGACCCCUCUCCAGCAGACGCCCAGCUCUAGGAACUCGAACUGCGUGUUGUAGGUGCUGCAAGCAUAGGUUGCCGAGUUGGAACGCUAGCCACCCCGUGUCGCGAACUGGUUACACCGGUGAGCUGAAAAUGGCGCACGCGACCUGCCGUGCUACAACCAUUGAUACAAUAUGUUGGAACCCGCCGACAGAGGAGCUGCAACCGGCCAAGCCAAGAGCUGGAACCGACGCAUGUUGUGCUGGGCAUCGCCACACGUGCCAUGUUAGAACCAUGUUCUGGCGAUGCUAGAACCGUGUUCCAGAGAUGUUGGAACCAUGUUCUAGCAAUGUUGGAACCGUGUUUUAGCAAUGCUGGAAUGGGGGUCGGUGAUGCUUAAAAGCUUUAGGACAGCGGGCAAAAUGCUGGAACCAUUACCGACAAAAGUUGCAAUAGUCGUCAGAUUUUGCUACCACCGGCAAAGGAUUCUGCUACAUGCUUCAUGGCAGAGCUGCAACCCUGCGACGGCGAUGACUUUUUUUCCACAGUCGUAGUUAUUUUUCGCUACCACUGGUGAUGUAUUUUGCCACAUCCAUUAAAUGUCGUUUAGUAUUGGCCGUCCAUAAUCCCGUGCAACUAGUGCCGACGCCGAGUGCGACCGCGGUUGUGCAUCGUGGUGUUGCAUAAUGAUGCAUCAACGGCUGGAGUUGCAGCCAGUUAGGGCGGAGUUGCAAGCGAAAUUGAUGAGCGGGGAAGUUCUUCGACAAGCAGCGGAGGGCUGCGAGUCGUCGGAGUGUGAGCGCCGACGACCGACGUCUGUUUGCCCUCGCGGAGCUGCACACGGAGGCGUAGGAGCGUGGGGUAGGGUGUGGGGAUUUUUUUCUUUGAUAUGCGAUGGGAGAUAGAGGACGAGUCAAGGAUGAAGGAGAGAGCUAGAUCGGAUGACUGAUCUAUGCCAGAUCGAACGGUUGGGGUUCGAGUGGCCGAAACUUUCAGCUAGUACUGCCCUUUCUCUAUCUAUUCUAACACACCAUGAAGCUUGGUGGAGAGUUCAUCCACUACCUCUAUAAAAGCACGAAGAGGCAGAUCCAACUCACCAUCUCACCUGCCUGAUUACGUCAUCAAUCGUCAAGAAUUAUCAUUAAAAAAUUCAUCCCAGCUAACGAAACCAAUUGAAGCCAAUCCCAUCGGCGAGGAAACCCACCCACACUUCCACGCCCGGGAACCGCUCACAAAAUCACCUCGCUUGAGAACUCAUCCAGGCCUAGCUCNNNNNNNNNNNNNNNNNNNNNNNNNNNNNNNNNNNNNNNNNNNNNNNNNNNNNNNNNNAGCCGCCGUCGCUGCCUCGCGCAACAACCACAACCAUUGCCCUCGCCUCACAUAGCGACGCGUCGCCCGUCGCUCGGCCAACCCGGACAAGCAGGACAAGGGCGCAGGGCAAGGAAAGGACAUGGGCGAUCGCAAUGAACCCUCCUUUCAUGGUAUUUAUCAUUUUUAUGCGAUGAACGCAACCUGUAGGUGCCUCCGUUCAUGAUUUGCAUAUCCAGAAUUUGUUGUCUGGCCAUCUAAGAGAAUUAGCUCACUACGCUAAGGAAUUAGGACAAUUCAGUUACAUGAUCUGACUGUUUAUAGAGGGAUCUAAAAGACUGAUGAUAUGCAAAUAUGAUCUCAAGUCUCAAAGUGCAUGUUGUUCUAUGUUCUUGGGCAUGUACAAAGGCUUAGAUAAACACCACCAAGGUUGAGGACGAAAAAGAUUGCACACACUAACCAUUAUUAUCUUCUUGUGAUAAUUUUAGGCUUGUACGAGGAAACUUGAAGAGGCAAUUUUAGUUGGUGGUGUGCUUUAAUAUUUCAUAUUGUUGUUCGUGUGUUCCUGUUGGAAAUAUGCCCUAGAGGCAAUAAUAAAGUGGUUAUUAUUAUAUUUCCUUGUUCAUGAUAAUUUUCUAUUGUUCAUGCUACAAUUGUAUUAACUGGAAACAGUAAUACAUGUGUGAAUAUAUAGACCACACCAAGUCCCUAGUGAGCCUCUAGUUGACUAGCUCGUUGAUCAAAGAUGGUUAAUGUUUCCUAACCAUAGACAAGUGUUCUCACUUGAGUUCUAGAAUGGUCUGGAAACGAAGAUUGAUAUAUAGGAAGUUGGUAGUUCGUAGUAUCAUUUCCCUAGACCAUGAGAUUGUGCAACUCCCGGAUACCGUAGGAGUGCUUUGGGUGUAUCAAGAAUCACAACGUAACUGGGUGAUUAUAAUGGUGCACUACAGGUAUCUCUGGAAGUGUAUGUUGGGUGGGCACGAAUCGAGAUUGGGAUUUGUCACUCCGUAUGAAGGAGAGGUAUCUCUGGGCCCACUGAGUAAUACAUCAUCCUAUUGAGCUCAGUGUGACUAAGGAGUUAGUCACAGGAUCAUGUGUUACGGAACGAGUAAAAAAACUUGCCUCUAACGAUAUUGAACAAGGUAUGGGGAUACCGACGAUCGGAUUUCGGGCAAGUUAUAUACCGAUAGACAAAGGGAAUUGCAUACGGGAUUGAUUGAAUCCCCGACAUCGUGGUUCAUCCGAUGAGAUCAUCGUGGAACAUGUGGGAGCCAACAUGGAUAUCCAGAUCCCGCUAUUGGUUAUUGACCGGGGAGGUGUCUCGGUCAUGUCUGCAUGGUUCCCGAACUCGUAGGGUCUACACACUUAAGGUUCGAUGACGCUAGAGUUGUAAUGAGAAUAAUAUGUGGUUAUCAAAAGUUGUUCGGAGCCCCGGAUGAGAUCCCAGACGUCCCGAGGAGCUCCGGAAUGGUCAGUAGGUAAAGAUUCAUAUAUAGGAAGUGGAGAUUAGAUCACAGGAAAUGUUUCGAGGAUCAUCGGUAUUGUACCGGGACUACCGGAAGGGUUACGGGGGUUCACCAGCCCCGGAGAGCCACGUGGGCCAAAAGUGGAAGGAAACCAACCCCUAGAUGGGCUGGUGCGUCACCCACCAAGGCCCAAGGAACCUAGGGCUAGCAACCCUAGGGCGUGGAGGUGGCCCACCUCCAACUUGGGAGGCAAGCCACCUCCCACCUGGCCACCGCCCCCUGCUUGGACCGCCGCCCCUCCUAGGGUUACCUAGGGUGGCCGGCCUGCCUUUCCCCUCCCCUAUAUAUACCCAAGGGUUUUGGGGCUGCAACACACAACUUUUCUCUCCCUCUUGGUGCAACCCUACCCUCUCUCUUUCUCCUCCUCCGCGGUGCUUGGCGAAGCCGUGCCGGAGAACCACAUAGCUACACCGCCACCACGCCGACGUGCUGUCGAAGCUCUCCAUCAACUUCCCCUCUCCCCUUGCUGGUUCAAGGUAGAGGAGACAUCAUCGGUUUGCACGUGUGUUGAACGCGGAGGCGUCGUUGUUCGGCGCUUUGGAUCACAUCUACCGCGAUUUGAAUCGCUAUGAGUACGACUCCAUCACCCGCAUUCCUAGUAACGCUUCCGCUUAGCAAUCUUCAAAGGUAUGAAGAUGCUCUACCCCUUGCUCGUUGCUAGCAUCUCCUAGAUUGAUCUUGCUGUUUCGUUGCUAGCAUCUCCUAGAUUGAUCUUGCCGCGCCCGAAGAUGGAGAUCAAAGGCGCAAGAUGAUAAUGGCCAUAUCAUGUCACUAUAUGAUUUGCAUGUGAUGUUUAUCAUGUUGUUCAUCUUAUUGCUUAGAAUGACGGUAGCAAAGAUAAGAUGAUCCCUCGUUAAAUUUCAAGAUAAGUAUUCCCCUAAGUGUGCACCGUUGUGAAGGAUCGUUGUCUUGAAGCACCAUGUGAUGGUCGGGUGUGAUAGAUUCUAACGUUCGCAUACAAUGGGUGUAAGCCAGAUUUACACACACAAAACACUUAGGUUGACUUGACGAGCCUAGCAUGUACAGGAAUGGCCUCAGAAUACGAGAGACCAAAAGGUCGAACAUGAGUCGUAUGGAUGAUACGAUCAACAUGGAGAUGUUCACCAUUGAUGACUAGUCUGUCUCACGUGAUGAUCGGACACGGGCUAGUCGACAUGGAUCAUGUAUCACUUAGAUGACUAGAGGGAUGUCAAUCUAAGUGCGAGUUCAUUAAAUAAUUUGAUUAGAUGAACUUAAUUAUCAUGAACUUAGUCUAACAAUGUCUUUACAGUAUUGUAGAUCCAAUGGCCAAUGCUCCUGUCAACCUCAAUUUCAACACGUUCCUAGAGAAAACCAAGCUGAAAGACGAUGGUAGAAACUAUGUGGACUGAGCUCGUAACUUAAAGCUCAUCCUCAUUGCUUCCAAGAAGGCAUAUGUCCUUGAUGCGUCGCUAGGUGACCCUCCCGUUCCCACGGCAGCCCAGGACGUUCAUAACGCGUGGCAGUCACGAAGUGAUGACUACUCUCUGGUUCAUUGUGGCAUGCUAUACAGUUUAGAACCGGGGCUCAAAAAACGUUUUGAGCAACCUGGAGCAUAUGACAUGUUCGAGGAGCUGAAAUUGGUUUUCCAAGAUCAUGCCCAGAUCAAGAGAUAUGAGGUCUCCGACUAGUUCCUCAGCUGUAAGAUGGAGGAAAAUAGUUCUGUCAGUGAGCACAUACCCAGAAUGUGUGGGUUGCACAACCGUCUGUCUCAGCUGGAAGUUAAUCUUCCGGAUGACGCGGUUAUUGACAGAAUCCUCCAGUCGCUUCCACAUAGCUACAAGAGGUUCGUGAUGAAUUAUAACAUGCAAGGGAUGGAAAAGAACAUUCCCGAGUUAUAUUCAAUGCUGAGAUCAGCGGAGGUGGAAAUCAAGAAGGAACAUCAAGUGUUGAUGGUGAAUAAGACCACUAGUUUAAUAAAAGGCAAGGGUAAAAAGAACUUCAAGAAGGACGGCAAAGAAGUUGCCACGCCCGGUAAAAAGGUUUCCUGGAAGAAGCGCAAGAAUGUCGCAAGCCUGAGACUGAGUGUUGUCAUUGCAAGGGAGCCAGUCACUGGAAGCGAAACUACCCCAAAUACUUAGCGGAUAAGAAGGCCGGAAAUGUCAAAGGUAUAUAUGAUGUACAUGUUAUUGAUGUGUACCUUACCAGCACUCGUAGUAGCUCCUAGGUAUUUGAUACCGGUGUUGUUGCUCACAUUUGCAACUGAAAAACAGGAACUGCAGAAUAAGCAGAGACUGGCAAAGGGCAAUGUGACGAUGCUCGUGGGAAUGGUUCCAAGGUCGAUGUGAUCGUCGUCGGCACGCUACCUCUACAUCUACCUUCGGGAUUAGUUUUAAACCUUAAUAAUUGUUAUUUAGUACUAGCUUUGAGCAUGAACAUUGUAUCUGAAUCUCGUUUGAUGCGAGAUGGCUACUCAUUUAAAUCUUAGAAUAAUGGUUGUUCUAUUUAUAUGAGUGAUAUGUUUUAUGGUCAUGUCCAUCUGGUCAAAGUUUAUUCUUAAUGAAUCUCGAACGUGAUGUUAUGCAUAUUCAUAGUGUGAGUACUAAAAGAUGCAAAAUUAAUAAUGAUAGUCCCACAUACUUGUGGCAUUGCCUCCCUGGUCAUAUCGGCGUCAAACGCAUGAAGAAACUCCAUGCUGACGGACUUUUGGAGUCUCUUGAUAAUGAAUCAUUUGACACGUGCAAGCUGUGCCUCAUGGGUAAGAUGACUAAGACUCUGUUCUCCGGAACAAUGGAGCGAGCAACCAACUUGUUGGAAAUAAUACAUAGCGAUGUAUGCGAUCCAAUGAGCGUUGAGGCUUGCGGUGGCUACCGUUAUGUUCUCACCCUCACUAAUGACUUAAGCAGAUAUGGGUAUGUCUACGUAAUGAAACACAAGUCUGAAACCUUUGAAAGGUUCAAGGAAUUUCAGAGUGAGGUUGAAAAUCAACGUGACAAGAAAAUAAAGUGCCUACGAUCUGAUCAUGGAGGAGAAUAUUUGAGUCACGAGUUUGGCACACACUUAAGAAAAUGUGGAAUUGUUUCACAACUCAUGCUGCCUGGCACACCUCAGUGUAAUGGUGUGUCUGAGCGUCGUAAUCGCACUCUAUUGGAUAUGGUGUAAUCUAUGAUGUCUAUUACUGAUUUAUCGCUAUCAUUUUGGGGAUACGCAUUGGAAACUUCCGCAUUCACUUUAAAUAGGGCACCGUCUAAAUCCGUUGAGAUGACACUGUAUGAAUUAUGCUUUGGGAAGAAACCUAAGCUGUCGUUUCUGAAAGUUUGGGGCUAUGAUGCUUAUGUGAAGAAACUUCAACGUGAGAAGCUCAAACCCAAAGCGAAAAAUGCGUCUUCAUAGGAUACCCUAAGGAAACUAUUGCGUAUACCUUCUAUCUUAGAUUCGAAGGAAAAUCUUUGUUGCCAAGAACGGAUCCUUUCUAGAGAAAGAGUUUCUCUCAAAAGAAGUAAGUGGGAGGAAAAUAGAACUUGAUGAGGUAACUGAAAUCCCUCUUGAACUAGAAAGUAGCGCAGCGUGGGAAAUUGUUCCCGUGGUGCCUGCACCGACUAGAGAGGAAGUUAAUGACGAUGAUCAUGAAACUUCGGAUCAAGUUACUACUGAACCUCUAAGGUCCACAAGGAUAUGUUCCGCACCAGAGUGGUUCGACAACCCAGUCCUAGAAAUAAUGUUGUUAGACAACGGUGAACCUUCGAACUAUGAAGAAGCAAUGGUCGGCCCGGAUUCCAACAAAUGGCUUGAAGCCAUGAAAUUCGAGAUAGGAUCCAUGUAUGAGAACAAAGUAUGGACUUUUGUGGACUUGCCCAAUGAUCAGCAAUCCACAGAAAAUAAAUGGGUCUUUAAGAAGAAUACUGACGCAGAUGGUAAUGUGACCGUCUAUAAGGCUGAGCUUGUCGCUAAGGGUUACCGACAAGUUCAAGGAGUUGACUACGAUGAGACUUUCUCACCCAUAGCGAUGUUGAAGUUCGUCCGAAUCAUGUUAGCAAUUGCCGCAUUUUAUGAUUAUGAGAUCUAGCAAAUGGACGUCAAAACGACAUUCCUUAACAGUUUCCUUAAGGAAGAAUUGUAUAUGAUGCAUCCAGAAGGUUUUGUCGAUCCUAAGAGUGCUGACAAGGUAUGCGAGCUCCAACGCUCCAUCUAUGGGCUGGUGCAAGCAUCUCAAAGUUGGAACAUUCACUUUAAUGAGGUGAUUAAAUCGUUCGGGUUUAUGCAGACUUAUUGAAAAGCCUGCAUUUACAAGAAAGUGAGUGGGAGCUCUGUAGCAUUCCUCAUUUUAUAUGUGGACGACAUAUUGCCGAUGGAAAAUGAUAUAGAACUUUUGGAAAGCGUAAAAGCCUACUUGAAUAAGUAUUUUUCAAUGAAGGACCUUGGGGAAGCUGCUUACAUAUUAGGCAUCAAGAUCUAUAUAGAUAGAUCGAGAUGCCUCAUAGGUCUUUCACAAAACACAUACCUUGACAAGAUAUUGAAGAAGUUCAAUAUGGAUAAGUCUAAGAAGGUGUUAUUGCAUGUAUAGCAAGGUAUGAGAUUGAGUAAGACUCAAUGCCCGACCAAAGCACAAGAUAGAGAAAAGAUGAGUAACAUCCCCUAUGCUUCAGUCGUAGGCUCUAUUAUGUAUGCCAUAGUGUGUACCAGACCUGAUGUGAACCUUGCCAUGAGUUUGGUAGGGAGGUACCAAAGUGAUCCUGGUAUGGAACGCUGGACAACGGUCAAUAAUAUCCUAAAGUACCUGAAAAGGACUAAAGAUAUGUUUCUCGUUUAUGGAGGUGCCGAAGAGCUCGUCGUAAAGGGUUACGCCGAUGAUAGCUUCGACAGAGAUCCGGAUGACUCCAAGUCACAAAUCGGAUACGUGUAUGUUUUGAAUGGUGGGGUAGUCAGCUGGUGCACUUUUAAGCAAGGCGUCGUGGCGGCAUCUACAUGUGAAGCAGAGUACAUAGCUGCUGCAGAAGCAGCGCAUGAAGGGAUCUGGAUGAAGGACUUCAUCACUGACCUAGGAGUAAUUCCCAGUGCGUCGGGCCCGAUGACUCUCUUGUGUGAUAACACUGGAGCUAUUGUCAUAGCCAAGGAGCCCAAGCACAUCAAGCGCUGCUUCAACUCCAUCCGUGAUUACAUUCAGGAAGGAGAUAUAGAUAUUUGUAAAGUACAUGCAGAUCUGAAUGUUGUAGAUCUUUUGAGUAAACCUCUUCCGCGAGCGAAACAUGAUCAACACCAGAACUCUACGGGUGUUCGUUUCAUCACAAUGUAACUAGAUUAUUGACUCCAGUGCAAGUGGGGGACUGUUGGAAAUAUGCCCUAGAGGCAAUAAUAAAGUGGUUAUUAUUAUAUUUCCUUGUUCAUAAUAAUUGUCUAUUGUUCAUGCUACAAUUGUAUUAAGAGGAAACAGUAAUACAUGUGUGAAUAUAUAGACCACACCAAGUCCCUAGUGAGCCUCUAGUUGACUAGAUGGUGGAUCAAUAGAUGGUCAUGGUUUCCUGCUCAUGGACAUUGGAUGUCAUUGAUAAUGGGAUCACAUCAUUAGGAGAAUGAUGUGAUGGACAAGACACAAUCCUAAGCAUAGCACAAGAUCGUGUAGUUUGUCUCCUAAAGCUUUUCUAAUGUCAAUUAUCAUUUCCUUAGACCAUGAGAUUGUGCAACUCCCAGAUACCGUAGGAGUGCUUUGGGUGUAUCAAAAGUCACAACGUAACUGGGUGAUUAUAAAGGUGCACUACAGGUAUCUCCGAAAGUGUCUGUUGGGUGGGCACGAAUCGAGACUGGGAUUUGUGACUCCGUAUGACGGAGAGGUAUCUCUGGGAUCACUCGGUAAUACACCAUCCUGUUGAGCUCAAUGUGACUAAGGAGUUAGUCACACGAUCAUGUGUUACAGAACGAGUAAAAGACUUGCGAGUAACGAUAUUGAACAAGGUAUGAGGAUACCGACGAUAGGGUCUCGGGCAAGUUAUAUACCGAUAGACAAAGGGAAUUGCAUACGGGAUUGAUUGAAUCCCCGACAUCGUGGUUCAUCCGAUGAGAUCAUCGUGGAACAUGUGGGAGACAAUAUGGAUAUCCAGAUCCCCCUGUUGGUUAUUAACCGGAGAGGUGUCUCGGUCAUGUCUGCAUGGUUCCCGAACCCGUAGGGUCUACACACUUAAGGUUCGAUGACGCUAGAAUUGUAAUGAGAAUAGUAUGUGGUUACCGAAAGUUGUUCAGAGUCCCGGGUGAGAUCCCGGAUGUCACGAGGAGCUCCGGAAUGGUCCGGAGGUAAAGAUUCAUAUAUAGGAAGUGGAUAUUAGAUCACCGGAAAUGUUUCAAGGAUCAUCUGUAUUGUACUGGGACCACCAUAAGGGUUUCGAGGGUCCACCGGGAGGGGCCACCAGCCCCGGAGAGCCACGUAGGCCAAAAGUGGAAGGGAACCAGCCGCUAGAUGGGUUGGUGCGCCACCCACCAAGGCCCAAGGCGCCUAGGGCUGGUUACCCUAGGGCGUGGAGGUGGCCCACCUCCAACUUGGGAGGCAAGCCACCUCCCACCUGGCAACCGUCCCCUGCUUGGGCCACCGCCCCUCCCAUAUGGGUGGCCGCCGCCCCUCCUAGGGUUUCCUAGGGUGGCCGGCCUGCCCUUCCCCUCCUCCUAUAUAUAUCCAAUGGUUUUGGGGCUGCAACAUGCAAGUUUUCACUCCCUCUCGGCGCAGCCCUACCCUCUCUCUCCAUCCUCCUCCGCGGUGCUUGGCGAAGCCCUGUCGGAGAACCACAUAGCUCCACCGCCACCACACCGUCGUGCUGCCGGAGCUCUCCACCAACUUCCCCUCUCCGCUUUCUGGUUCAAGGUAGACGAGACGUCACCGGGAUGCACGUGUGUUGAACAUGGAGGCACCGUUUGUCGGCCCUUUGGAUCACAUCUACUGCGAUCUGAAUCGCUACGAGUACGACUCCAUCACCCGCGUUCAUAGUAACGCUUCCGCUUAGCAAUCUUCAAAAGUAUGAAGAUCAUCUACCCCUUGCUCGUUGCUAGCAUUUCCUAGAUUGAUCUUGGUGUUUCGUAGGAAUUUUUUUGAAUUUCUCCCUCGAGCCCCAACAGUUCCUCCAUCAUCGUGUCUUCUUCUAUUAGUUUGAAUUUUCUAGCGCAUGAACUACCAAGUGAAUUUUCCUAGCUCCGAUGGUUGCGCCACUGAGGAUGCUAUCAGCGAAAAUAAAGGCAAUUUGUACUGGGACGUCUUGGCCGAGCUGCAGGACCUCCGCCUCGACGAGCUGUAGAAUCUCCACCUCGCUCUGGUUUUUGUGGUACGGGCCCUUCCCCACUCCAUCAAAUAGUGACUUAUAUUUUGUUCUGCUUUGUUCUUAGACAAGUGUGGUAAAUUGUAUGGUAAAGUGUGGCAUCUACUACCCCUAUAAAGCACGAAGAGACAGAUCCAAAUCCUCAACUCAGCCAUUUGAUUACAUCAUCAAUGAUCAAAAAUCAUUGUUAACGAAAUUCAUCCCAUCGCUAACGAAGAUAAUCCCAUCGCUGAGGAAACCCACCCCCACUUCAAUGCUCAAGAACCGCUCGCAAACUCAGCCACGCCGCCCGACCUCCCCACCCCCGAUGGUCGCUCGCCUCGUCCAGCCACCGGCCCCGCUCGGCCCACUUGCCCCCACUCGUCGCUCGCCUCGCGCCGUCGCCCUUGUCUCACACAGCCUCGUGCAGUCGCCGCCCCCGCCUCGUGCAGCCACCGCCACCACCUUGCGCAGCCUCACGCCGUCCUCUCUGCUCACCCGGACAAGCGGGACAAGGGCACCGUUCAAGGAGAGGACAGGGGCGAUCGCGGUGAACCCUCCGUUCAUGGUACUGUAACGUCCAAGAUGUGGCACUAUCCAUAUUUGGGGAUUAGGUCUUAAUAUGGAUAGAGGCACAUCUUAGCGUUUCGCAAGUACAUAAAUCACCGCAAUACAUUUAUGAAGAGAAGAGUAUAUUGAUUAGCUUACACUCGCCACAAGUUAAGUUACAAGCCACACAACAUUAGUUCAAUCAUCCUAAGACCGGGUCCGGCUACAGACAAGAUAAAUGAUAAAAUGCAAUGACUCUGCCUCGUUAGUCUAGGAAACGAGCAAGGUCCUCUAAUCAUCGGGGUACAUUACGUACAAGCGCCCACUGCCUUCAUCGAAAUCCCAUUGAAGAUCGAUAACCCACAAGUAUAGGGGAUCGCAACAGUUUUCGAGGGUAGAGUAUUCAACCCAAAUUUAUUGAUUCAACUCAAGGGGAAGCGAAAGAAUAUUCUCAAGUAUUAGCAGUUGAGCUGUCAAUUCAACGACACCUAAAAGAUUUAGUAUCAGUAGCAAAGUAGGGUGAUAGCAGCAGUAGCAACAGUAACCAGUAGCAGCAAAGUAACAACAGUAGGAACAGAGUAACAACAGCAGCAGUCACAGCAGUAGCGGCAAAGUAACGUAGCAAGGACCAGUAGAAAAAGACUCGUAGGCAUUGGAUCAGUGAUGGAUGAUUAUGCCGGAUGUGAUUGAUCAUGCAACAGUUAUAACACGGAGAGAUAAGUAAAUAGCUCCAGUUCGUCAAUCUAAUGUAGGCAUGUAUUCCGCAUGUAGUCAUACGUGCUUAGGGAAAAUAACUUGCAUGACAUCUAUUGUCCAUCCCUCCCAUGGCAGCGGGGUCCUAAUGGAAACUACAGGAUAUUAAGGUUCUCCUUUGAAUAAAGAACCGGACCAAUGCAUUAACACUUGGUGAAUACAUGAACUCCUCAUACUAUGGUCAUCUCCGGGAGUGGUUCCGGCUAUUGUCACUCCGGGGUUGCAGGGUCAUAACACAUAGUAGGUGACUACAACUUGCAAGAUAGGAUCUAAAACACACAUAUAUUGGCGACAACAUAAUAGGUUCAGAUCUGAAAUCAUGGCACUCGAGCCCUAGUGACAAGCAUUAAGCAUGGCAAAGUAGUAGCAACAUCAAUCUCAGAACAUAGUGGAUACUAGGGAUCAAUUCCCGUCAAAACUAACUCGAUUACAUGAUAGAUCUCAUCCAACCCAUCACCGUCUAGAAAGCCUACGAAUAGAUUACUCACGAACGGUGAAGAGCAUCAUGGAAUUGGCGAUGAAGGAAGGUUGGUGAUGACGAUGGCGUCAAAGUUUGUUUUCUUGUGCUAAUGAUAUCACGAGUUUCUGUUUAAGUUUUGUGUUGUGAAGUUUUCAAGUUUUGGGUGAUGAUCUCAUGGACAAAGGGAUAAAGAGUGGAAAGAGCUCAAGCUUGGGGAUGCCCAAGGCAUCCCAAGCCAAAUUCAAGGACACCAAAAAGCCUAAGCUGGGGGAUGCCCCGGGAAGACAUCCCCUCUUUCGUCUCCAAUCCAUCGGUAAUAUUACUUGGAGCUAUAUUUUUAUUCACCACAUGAUAUGUGUUUUGCUUGGAGCGUCUUGUAUCAUAGGAGUCCUUUAUUUUUGUUGUGUCACAAUCAUCCUUGCUGCACACCUUUUGAGAGAGACAUGCACUCAUCGUGAAUUUUCUAGAAUACUCAUUGAGCUUCGCUUAUAUCUUUUGAGUUAGGCAAUUUAGCUCAUUGUGCUUCACUUAUAUCUUUUGAUCUAGAUAACUUUUCUCUUUGUGCUUCACUUAGAUCUUUUAGAGCACGGCGGUGUCAUAUUUUGGAGAAAUAAGAACUCUCGAUCUUCACUUAUAUCUUUUUGAGAGUGCUCUCUCUGAGUAACUUGGUAGUUGGCUUGUGUUAUGAAAGUAGUCCGAAAGAUGAUAGGCGCCCAAAGAGGAUACAAUAAAACUUCCAUAUUCAUGUGCAUUGAUUAGAAAGAGAAGUUUGAUUCCUCUCAAAUAGUUUUGAGACAUGGAUUUGGUAAUAUUAAGAGUUAUGCUAGUAGGGUGUUGUGAAUCUAGAAAUACUUGUGUUGAAGUUAGUGAUUCCCGUAACAUGCACGUAUGGUGGACCGCUAUGUUAGGAAGUCGGAGCAUAUUUGAUUUAUUGAUUGUCAUCCUUUGUGUUGCGGUCGGGAUUGCGCGAUGGUUAACACCUACCAACCCUUCCCCUAGGAGUAUGCGUUUAGCACUUUGUUUCGAUUACUAAUAAAAACUUUCGCAAUAAGUAUGUGAGUUCUUCAUGACUAAUGUGAGUCCAUGGUAUAGAUACACUUUCACCUUCCACCAUUGCUAGCCUCUCUAGUGCCGUGCAACUUUCGUCGGUACACAAAACCACAAUAUGCCUUCCUCAAAACAACCACCAUACCUACCUACUAUGGCAUUUUCAUAGCCAUUCCGAGAUAUAUUGCCAUGCAACUCCCACCGUUCGGUCUCAUGACUUGUGUCGUNNNNNNNNNNNNNNNNNNNNNNNNNNNNNNNNNNNNNNNNNNNNNNNNNNNNNNNNNNNNNNNNNNNNNNNNNNNNNNNNNNNNNNNNNNNNNNNNNNNNGUGAUCUCAUCCGGGACUCCGAACAACAUUCGGUAACCAACCAUAUAACUCAAAUACGCAUAAAACAACGUCGAACCUUAAGUGUGCAGACCCUGCGGGUUCGAGAACUAUGUAGACAUGACCCGAGUGACUCCUCGGUCAAUAUCCAAUAGCGGGACCUGGAUGCCCAUAUUGGAUCCUACAUAUUCUACGAAGAUCUUAUCGUUUGAACUUCAGUGCCAAGGAUUCAUAUAAUCCCGUAUGUCAUUCCCUUUGUCCUUCGGUAUGUUACUUGCCCGAGAUUCGAUCGUCAGUAUCCGCAUACCUAUUUCAAUCUCGUUUANCCGGCAAGUCUCUUUACUCAUUCCGUAAUACAAGAUCCCGCAACUUACACUAAGUCACAUUGCUUGCAAGGCUUGUGUGUGAUGUUGUAUUACCGAGUGGGCCCCGAGAUGCCUCUCCGUCACACGGAGUGACAAAUUCCAGUCUCGAUCCAUACUAACUCAACGAACACCUUCGAAGAUACCUGUAGAGCAUCUUUAUAGUCACCCAGUUACGUUGCGACGUUUGAUACACACAAAGCAUUCCUCNNNNNNNNNNNNNNNNNNNNNNNNNNNNNNNNNNNNNNNNNNNNNNNNNNNNNNNNNNNNNNNNNNNNNNNNNNNNNNNNNNNNNNNNNNNNNNNNNNNNACGGUGCCCUAUUUAAAGUGAAUGCUGCAGUUUCUAAUGCGUAUCCCCAAAAUGAUAGCGGUAAGUCGGUAAGAGACAUCAUAGAUCGUACCAUAUCUAAUAAAGUGCGAUUAUGACAUUCACACACCCCAUUACGUUGCGGUGUGCCAAGCGGCGUCAGUUGUGAAACGAUUCCACACUUCCUUAGGUGUGUGCCAAACUCGUGACUCAAAUAUUCUCCUCCACAAUCAGAUCGUAGACAUUUAAUUUUUUCUGUCACGUUGAUUCUCAACCUCACUCUGAAAUUCCUUGAACUUUUCAAACGUCUCAGAUUUGUGCUUCAUCAAGUAGAUAUACCCAUACCUACUCAAAUCAUCGGUGAGAGUGAGAACAUAACGAUAACCACCGCGAGCUUCAACGUUCAUUGGACCACACACAUCAGUAUGUAUUAUUUCCAAUAAGUCGGUUGCUCUCUCCAUUAUUCCUGAGAAUGGAGUCUUAGUCAUCUUGCCCAUGAGGCACAGUUCGCAUGUGUAAAAUGAUUCAAAGUCAAGAGACUCUAAUAGUCCAUCAAUAUGGAGCUUCUUCAUGCGCUUAACGCCGAUAUGACCAAGGCGGCAGUGCCACAAGUAUGUGGGACUGUCAUUAUCAACUUUACAUCUUUUGGUACUCACACUAUGAAUAUGUGUAACAUCACGAUCGAGAUUCAUCAAGAAUAAACCAUUCANNNNNNNNNNNNNNNNNNNNNNNNNNNNNNNNNNNNNNNNNNNNNNNNNNNNNNNNNNNNNNNNNNNNNNNNNNNNNNNNNNNNNNNNNNNNNNNNNNNNAGGUUGACUCGACGAGCUUAGCAUGUACAGACAUGACCUCGAAUACAAGAGACCGAAAGGUCGAACAUGAGUCGUAUGGUUGAAUACGAUCAGCAUGAAGUUGCUCACCAUGGUGACUAGUCCGUCUCACGUGAUGAUCGGACACGGGUUAGUCAACAUGGAUCAUGUAUCACUUAGAUGACUAGAGGGAUGUCGAUUUAAGUGGGAGUUCAUACUUAAUUUGAUUAAAUGAAAUUAAUUGUCAUGAACUUAGUCUAAAAGUUGUCUUUAUAAAUAUUGUAGAUGUCCAACGUCAACCUCAAUUUCAACGCAUUCCUAGAGAAAAACAAGCUGAAAGAUGAUGGUAGCAACUAUGCGGACUGGGUUUGCAACUUGAAGCUCAUCCUCGAAGCAGCUAAAAAGGCUUAUGUCCUUAAUGCGCCGCUAGGUGACCCUCCCGCUCCCGCAGCAGCCCAGGACAUUCUGAACGUCUGGCAAACGCGGAGUGAUGACUACUCUCUGGUCAGGUGUGGCAUGUUAUACAGUUUAGAAACGGGGCUCCAAAGGCGUUUUGAGCAACAUGGGGCAUAUGAGAUGUUCCAGGAGCUACAGCUAGUUUUUCAAGCUCAUGCCCGUGUCGAGAGAUAUGAAGUCUCCGACAAGUUCUUCAGCUGUAAGAUGGAGGAGAACAGUUCUGUCAGUGAGCACAUACUCAAAAUGUCUGGGUUACACGGUCGUCUGACUUCACUUGGAGUCGAACUUCCGGAUGAUGCUAUUAUUGACAGAAUCCUCCAGUCUCUCCCACCAAGCUACAAAGGCUUUGUGCUUAACUACAAUAUGCAAGGGAUGGAGAAGACCAUUCCCGAGUUGUACUCGCUGCUCAACUCUGCAGAAGUAGAAAUCAAGAAAGAGCAUCAAGUCUUGAUGGUCAACAAGACCACUAGUUUCAAGAAAGGCAAGGGUAAGAAGAACUUCAAGAAAGACGGCCAAGCUGUUGCCGCGCCCGGUAAGCCAGAUGCCGGGAAGAAGAAAAAGAACGGACCCAAGCCUGAGACUGAGUGCUUCUAUUGCAAGGGAAAGGGUCACUNNNNNNNNNNNNNNNNNNNNNNNNNNNNNNNNNNNNNNNNNNNNNNNNNNNNNNNNNNNNNNNNNNNNNNNNNNNNNNNNNNNNNNNNNNNNNNNNNNNNUCUCUCCUACUCUAGUCGGAUUGGAUUUGAUGAAAAGGGUCCUUAUGAAGGGUAAAUAGCUUUGGCAUAUAAUCGUUGUGGCUGUCACGUAGGUAAGAAGGCGUUCUUGCUAGAAACCCAAAUCAGCCACGUAAAACUUGCAACAACAAUUAGAGGACGUCUAACUUGUUUUUGCAGGGUUUGACAUGUGAUGUGAUAUGGCCAAAGUUGUGAUGUUGCAUGUAUAAUGUAUGAGAUGAUCAUGUUAUUGUAAUAGGUUUCACGACUUGCAUGUCGAUGAGUAUGACAACCGGCAGGAGCCAUAGGAGUUGUCUUAAUUUAUUGUAUGAGAUGCAACGCCAUGUGCUUACUACUUUUACUUCAUUGCUAACAGUUAGCUAUAGUAGUAGUGAUAGUAGUAGUUGGCGUGACGACAUCACAGAGACACGAUGAUGGAGAUCAUGAUGAUGGAGAUCAUGGUGUCACGCUGGUGACGAUGAUGAUCAUGCGAUGCCUGAAGAUGGAGAUCGAAAGAGCAAAGAUGAUAAUGGCCAUAUCAUGUCACUAUAUGAUUGCAUUGUGAUGUUUAUCAUGUUUUACAUCUUAUUGCUUAAAACGACGGUAGCAUAAUAAGAUGAUCCCUCUUAAAAUUUCAAGAACGUAUUCCCCUAAGUGUGCACCGUUGCGAAGGUUCAUUGUCUCGAAGCACCACGUGAUGAUCGGGUGUGAUAGAUUCUAACAUUCGCAUACAACCGGUGUAAGCCAGAUUUACACACGCGAAACACCUAGGUUGACUCGACGAGCUUAGCAUGUACAGACAUGACCUCGAAUACAAGAGACCGAAAGGUCGAACAUGACUCGUAUGGUUGAAUACGAUCAGCAUGCAGUUGCUCACCAUGGUGACUAGUCCGUCUCACGUGAUGAUCGGACACGGGUUAGUCAACAUGGAUCAUGUAUCACUUAGAUGACUAGAGGGAUGUCGAUUUAAGUGGGAGUUCAUACUUAAUUUGAUUAAAUGAAAUUAAUUGUCAUGAACUUAGUCUAAAAGUUGUCUUUAUAAAUAUUGUAGAUGUCCAACGUCAACCUCAAUUUCAACGCAUUCCUAGAGAAAAACAAGCUGAAAGAUGAUGGUAGCAACUAUGCGGACUGGGUUNNNNNNNNNNNNNNNNNNNNNNNNNNNNNNNNNNNNNNNNNNNNNNNNNNNNNNNNNNNNNNNNNNNNNNNNNNNNNNNNNNNNNNNNNNNNNNNNNNNNAAUACCCAGGAGCUACUACGAGCGCUGGUAAGGUACACAUCAAUAACAUGUAUAUCACAUAUACCUUUAACGUUGCCGGCCUUCUUGUCCGCUAAGUAUUUGGGGCAGUUCCGCUUCCAGUGACCCUUUCCCUUGCAAUAGAAGCACUCAGUCUCAGGCUUGGGUCCGUUCUUUUUCUUCUUCCCGGCAUCUGGCUUACCGGGCGCGGCAACAGCUUGGCCGUCUUUCUUGAAGUUCUUCUUACCCUUGCCUUUCUUGAAACUAGUGGUCUUGUUGACCAUCAAAACUUGAUGCUCUUUCUUGAUUUCUACUUCUGCAGAAUUGAGCACCGAGUACAACUCGGGAAUGGUCUUCUCCAUCCCUUGCAUGUUGUAGUUAAGCACAAAGCCUUUGUAGCUUGGUGGGAGAGACUGGAGGAUUCUGUCAAUUAUAGCAUCAUCCGGAAGUUCGACUCCAAGUGAAGUCAGACGACCGUGUAACCCAGACAUUUUGAGUAUGUGCUCACUGACAGAACUGUUCUCUUCCAUCUUACAGCUAAAGAACUUGUCGGAGACUUCAUAUCUCUCGGCACGGGCAUGAGCUUGAAAAACUAGCUUCAUCUCCUGGAACAUCUCAUAUGCCUCAUGUUGCUCAAAACGCCUUUGGAGCCCCGUUUCUAAACUGUAUAACAUGCUACACCUAACCAGAGAGUAGUCAUCACUCCGCGUUUUCCAGACGUUCAGAAUGUCCUGGGCUGCUGCGGGAGCGGGAGGGUCACCUAGCGGCGCAUCAAGGACAUAAGCCUUUUUAGCUGCUUCAAGGACGAGCUUCAAGUUGCGAACCCAGUCCGCAUAGUUGCUACCAUCAUCUUUCAGCUUGUUUUUCUCUAGGAAUGCGUUGAAAUUGAGGUUGACGUUGGACAUCUACAAUAUUUAUAAAGACAACUUUUAGACUAAGUUCAUGACAAUUAAGUUCAUUUAAUCAAAUUAAAUAUGAACUCCCACUUAAAUCGACAUCCCUCUAGUCAUCUAAGUGAUACAUGAUCCAUGUUGACUAACCCGUGUCCGAUCAUCACGUGAGACGGACUAGUCACCAUGGUGAGCAACUCCAUGCUGAUCGUAUUCAACCAUACGAAUCAUGUUCGACCUUUCGGUCUCUUGUAUUCGAGGUCAUGUCUGUACAUGCUAAGCUCGUCGAGUCAACCUNNNNNNNNNNNNNNNNNNNNNNNNNNNNNNNNNNNNNNNNNNNNNNNNNNNNNNNNNNNNNNNNNNNNNNNNNNNNNNNNNNNNNNNNNNNNNNNNNNNNGCGGAGACUGGCCAAGGACGAGGUGACGAUGCGCGUCGGGAAUGGUUCAAAGGUCGAUGUGAUCGCCGUCAGCACGCUGCCUCUACAUCUACCGUCGGGAUUAGUUUUAAACCUUAAUAAUUGUUAUUUAGUACCAGCUUUAAGCAUGAACAUUGUAUCAGGGUCUUGCUUAAUGCGAGACGGCUACUCAUUUAAGUCAGAGAAUAAUGGUUGUUCUAUUUAUAUGAGUGAUAUGUUUUAUGGUCAUGCUCCGCUGGUGAAUGGUUUAUUCUUGAUGAAUCUCGAUCGUGAUGUUACACAUAUUCAUAGUGUGAGUACCAAAAGAUGCAAAGUUGAUAAUGAUACUCCCACAUACUUGUGGCACUGCCGCCUUGGUCAUAUCGGCGUUAAGCGCAUGAAGAAGCUCCAUACUGAUGGACUAUUAGAGUCUCUUGACUUUGAAUCAUUUGACACAUGCGAACCGUGCCUCAUGGGCAAGAUGACUAAGACUCCAUUCUCAGGAAUAAUGGAGAGAGCAACCGACUUAUUGGAAAUAAUACAUAUUGAUGUGUGUGGUCCAAUGAACGUUGAAGCUCGCGGUGGUUAUCGUUAUGUUCUCACUCUCACCGAUGAUUUGAGUAGGUAUGGGUAUAUCUACUUGAUGAAGCACAAAUCUGAGACGUUUGAAAAGUUCAAGGAAUUUCAGAGUGAGGUUGAGAAUCAACGUGACAGAAAAAUUAAAUGUCUACGAUCUGAUCGUGGAGGAGAAUAUUUGAGUCACGAGUUUGGCACACACCUAAGGAAGUGUGGAAUCGUUUCACAACUGACGCCGCCUGGCACACCGCAGCGCAACGGAGUGUCUGAACGUCGUAAUCGCACUUUAUUAGAUAUGGUACGAUCUAUGAUGUCUCUCACCGACUUACCGCUAUCAUUUUGGGGAUACGCAUUAGAAACUGCAGCAUUCACUUUAAAUAGGGCACCGUCUAAAUCCGUUGAGACGACACCGUAUGAACUAUGGUUUGGCAAGAAACCUAAGUUGUCGUUUCUUAAAGUUUGGGGCUGCGAUGCUUAUGUGAAGAAACUUCAACUAGAAAAGCUCCAACCCAAAGAGGAGAAAUGCGUAUUCAUAGGAUACCCUAAGGAAACUAUUGGGUAUACCUUCUAUCUUAGAUCCGAAGGUAAAACCUUUGUUGCCAAGAACGGAUCCUUUCUAGAGAAAGAGUUUCUCUCGAAAGAAGUAAGUGGGAGGAAGGUAAAACUUGAUGAGGUAAUUGCACCCCCUCUCGAACAGGAAAGUAGCGCAGCGCGGGAAGUUGUUCCUGUGGCGCCUAUACCGAAUGAAGAGGAAGUUAAUGAUGAUGAUCAUGAAGCUUCGGAUCAAGUUACUACUGAACCGCGAAGGUCCACAAGGGCACGCUCCGCACCAGAGUGGUACGGCAACCCUGUGAUGGAAAUCAUGUUGUUAGACAAUGGUGAGCCUUCGAACUAUGAAGAAGCAAUGGCGGGCCCGGAUUCCAACAAAUGGCUUGAGGCUAUGAAAUCCGAGAUAGGAUCCAUGUAUGAGAACAAAGUAUGGACUUUGGUGGACUUGCCCGAUGACCGGCGAGCCAUAGAAAAUAAAUGGAUCUUCAAGAAGAAGACUGAUGCAAACGGUAAUGUAACCGUUUACAAAGCUCGACUUGUCGCAAAGGGUUUUCGACAAAUUCAAGGAGUUGACUACGAAGAGGCUUUCUCUCCCGUAGCGAAGCUGAAAUCAGUUCGAAUCAUGUUAGCAAUUGCCGCCUUUUAUGAUUAUGAAAUUUGGGAAAUGGACGUCAAAACAGCGUUCCUUAACGGGAACCUUAAGGAAGAGUUGUAUAUGAUGCAACCAGAAGGUUUUGUCGACCCUAAGGGUGCUAACAAAGUGUGCAAGCUCCAGCGCUCCAUCUAUGGGCUGGUGCAAGCAUCUCGGAGUUGGAACAUUCGCUUUAAUGAGGUAAUUAAAGCGUUUGGGUUCAUACAGGUUUACGGAGAAACCUGUCUGUACAAGAAAGUGAGUGGGAGCUCUGUAGCUUUCCUCAUACUAUAUGUGGAUGACAUAUUAUUGAUGGGGAAUAAUAUAGAGAUGUUGGAGAGCAUAAAGGCCUAUUUGAACAAGAGUUUUUCAAUGAAGGACCUUGGAGAAGCUGCAUACAUAUUAGGCAUCAAGAUCUAUAGAGAUAGAUCGAGACGCCUCAUAGGUCUUUCGUAAAGUACAUACCUUGACAAGAUAUUGAAGAAGUUCAAUAUGGAAAACUCAAAGAAAGGGUCAUUGCCAGUUUUGCAAGGUAUGAGAUUGAGUAAGACUCAGUCGCCGACCACGGCAGUAGAUAGAGAGAAGAUGAGUUAUGUCCCCUACGCUUCAGCCGUGGGCUCUCUAAUGUAUGCCAUGUUGUGUACCAGACCUGAUAUAAACCUUGCCAUAAGUUUGGUAGGGAGGUACCAAAGUAAUCCCGGUACGGAACACUCGACAGCGGUCAAGAAUAUCCUUAAGUACCUGAAAAGGACUAAGGAAAUAUUUCUCGUUUAUGGAGGUGACGAAGAGCUCGUCGUAAAGGGUUACGUCGACGCUAGCUUCGACAUAGAUCCGGAUGACUCUAAGUCACAGACCGGAUACGUAUAUGUGUUGAAUGGUGGGGCAGUGAGCUGGUGCAACAGCAAGCAAGAAGUCGUGGCAGCAUCUACAUGUGAAGCGGAGUACAUAGCUGCUUCAGAAGCGGCUCAUGAAGGAAUUUGGAUGAAGGAGCUCAUCACUGACCUUGGAGUGGUUCCAAGCGCGUCGGGUCCCAUGACACUCUUCUGUGAUAACACUGGAGCCAUUGCCAUAGCCAAGGAGCCCAGGUUUCACUGAAAGACGAAGCACAUCAAGCGCCGCUACAACUCCAUCCAGGACCAUGUCCAGAGUGGAGUGAUAGAUAUUUGUAAAGUACACACGGAUCUGAAUAUUGCAGACCCGUUGACUAAACCUCUUCCACGAGCAAAACAUGAUCAACACCAUAAUGCUAUGGGUGUUCGAUACAUCACAAUGUAACUAGAUUAUUGACUCUAGUGCAAGUGGGAGACUGUUGGAAAUAUGCCCUAGAGGCAAUAAUAAAAUGGUUAUUAUCAUAUUUCCUCGUUCAUGAUAAUCGUCUAUUGUUCAUGCUAUAAUUGUAUUAACAGGAAACAGUAAUACAUGUGUGAAUAAAUAGAUCACAAUGUGUCCCUAGGAAGCCUCUAGUUGGCUAGCUCGUUAGUCAAUAGAUGAUCAUGGUUUCCUGAUCAUGGGCAUUAGAUGUCAUUGAUAACGGGAUCACAUCAGUGGGAGAAUGAUGUGAUGGACAAGACCCAAUCCUAAGCCUAGCACUAGAUCGUAUUGUUCGUAUGCUAAUGCUUUUCUAAUGUCAAGUAUCUUUUCCUUCGACCGUGAGAUUGUGCAACUCCCAGAUGCCGUAGGAGUGCUUUGGGUGUAUCAAACGUCACAACGUAACUGGGUGACUAUAAAGGUGCACUACGGGUAGGGGGGGGGGGGGGGGUUGGGUUGGUACGAAUCGAGAUCGGGAUUUGUCACUCCGUGUGACGGAGAGGUAUCUCUGGGCCCACUCGGUAGAACAUCAUCAUGAGCUCAAUGUGACUAAGGAGUUAGUCACACGAUGAUGUGCUACGGAACGAGUAAAGAGACUUACCGGUAACGAGAUUGAACAAGGUAUAGGUAUACCGACGAUCGAAUCUCGGGCAAGUUCUAUACCGACAGACANNNNNNNNNNNNNNNNNNNNNNNNNNNNNNNNNNNNNNNNNNNNNNNNNNNNNNNNNNNNNNNNNNNNNNNNNNNNNNNNNNNNNNNNNNNNNNNNNNNNGGGGGGGGGGGAGGGUGUUAGAUUUGUAUUGCCCCUUUUUUGUAUAUCCCCAUUAUAUAAGGGGUUUCUACCACUUUUACCAUAUGUAUAUAUAUUGGCCUUUGGCCCCUGUGAAUAUUUGCUCAUUAUCUAACAGAUCCAACACAAGGUUGGGUCGAAGCUAGUUUAUAUCUGGGACGUUACACCAACCUCUCAAGCCAAUCCAACAUUGCAGACAGAUUUAUGAUACACUUCCUUUUCACGAGCCCGAGGCAAUGUACCUAUGUCAAAAAAAGUAGGAGUUCGAGGCAAUGUACCUAAUACAAACUGUGAAGCCUUCCCACCUAGGCUAUACAUGAGGUCCUUGAGAUGCUCUAUAAGAUAUCGGUUAAAAGAGAAAACGUCCAAAAUAAGAGAAAUAUAACUAUAUUUUUUUUGUAUUUGUCGCUUCAAAGGAUCAGUAUGUUGGACAAGAAGAGAAGCACUGAAGUAGCAUCACUCAUCAUCAAGGUCAAAAUCGUUGUCCGAUGCGCACUCGAGAUAUGAACCAAUCGACUUGCGGAAGAUGAUGAAAGACUUGUCAUCCUGUGAAAAAAGAAUGCAUUAUUUUGCAGGAAGAGGUGUUUCAAGCCAUGGAACAAAAAAAACUGGCUGGUCAUUCAGCUUUAGGCCUGACGGGUAGCUAAAAAUGAAGUCUAAGAAAUGCAAGCAGUUGUGAAUUUUGCCACACCUGCUUCAUCCUUUUCAGUGAUGGUUUGGCAUUUGUUAUCUUAUCUGAUAAGGUGUCACCAUGUUCUGACAAUGUAGCCGUCUCCUCCCCUGUUUGAAGGAUUUGAGUGUAAGAGCAGCAUAUUUCCAUCCAAGGGAAAUAAUGAAUCCUCUAGCUACUUACUUUGAUAUUCAUACUGCUCAAGCAGUUUCUUUUUCUCAACUUCAAUUUGUGAGGAUAGAUCUGCAUAAUAGGACAUGUAACAAGUCAAAUAAGAGCCAAAUAUUUUUGCAGAUUCAAUGAGAUCUGAACGUCUUUUAUGGGAACAUCAUCCAAAUAAUGCUGAGUCGCUAAUAAGCAGUAGCCAAGCAAUGCAUAUUUAGAAACAACACACAUAAUUUGAAUACAAGUGUCAUGUAGAUUCUAUUUGCAUCAAAACCAGGUAUCUCAAUAUUUUUUCUAAAGAUAAGAAUCACAGCUCAUACGUAGUAGCCGAUUACACCAAAUGAGAAACAACCAUCACACGUCACAAUGCCCUAAAAUCCUAGAUAGACCUGGAUAGAAGCACAUGAUAUACUUGUGAAAAUGACAACCAGCUCUUAUUUGACAUACCUUUGAAGGUUUGUAAGUGUGCAUCAUUUUCUUCGCAGAACAUUUCAUAUGUUUCCUGAAGCUUGGUGUACUCUUCGUUCAAUGAACUUUCACACUGCUAAUAGUGCAAAUUACACGCCAUAAUUCAAUCUUAGGCAAAUCAGCAAGUAAGUCGACAAUUCCAAAGAAUUGUAAACUGUGUACCUCUUUCGAAGUGCUUGACAGUACUUUCAGCAAAUUCUGCCUGCACAUGCAAAUAUAACAGUGACACUACGUUCUAAAUAAAAACGAACAAGCUUCCUUUUCUGACAGAACUGGUUUCAGGCGUAAUUGUUCAUGCAGGCAUCGUUUCACAGUUCACAAGCAAGUGAGUUACCUUUCCUUCUCAAACUUGGACUUGGUAUCUUCAAGCAUAGUCUGAAUAUUGGCUGCAACACUGUCAGGUUUAGAAAAGUAAAGGAAUAAACAGGGUAAGAAGAAGGUAAAAGAAUAAUGAUCAGCAACAUUAUGCGCUUCAAACUUCACAGUUCAGUCAGCGGAGUCCCUGUUAGUCCACAUGUUAUAAUUUUCGGCUUCUUUUCCUCCCCGAUGCCUGUGUAAAUAAUUCUUUGUAAUAGUUCUGAGAAGUUUAUAGAAAUGUUCAGGCUGGCUUUGCCGGCCGUAGUUCUGAAAAUCAACUCACCCGAACAAAGCCACACCAUGACAUAAGUACAAAACAUGAAUCCGGGAACCCAUCAAAUUAAUAUGUCCAUUUUCCUCGCAUCACUCACAAUGCAUAUCGCUCCGCAUAAUAUACAAAAACUGACAUAUCACCGAACGAACCUAGUUCCUGCAUUAAUCACAGAAACAGCCGAGUGGACGCAUUGCAGGAUUGCAAACGUGCAACAUUUAUUUGUAUCCCUCCCAGUGACCAUGAACUGUAAGUUUUCCACACAAAUCCGCCAGCACGAAAUGCAUCAUAAGAAGCUGCUAGGAUAGCAUACGCCGAUCCCAAUUUUUUUGCACGCUAGCACAUAGCGAGAUAAGAGAAAAUUUAGAGGUGCAAGUGCAACCGAAAGAACACUGUUCUCCGCACCUGGCGAUGAUCUGCUCGCACAUCUUCUGGCCAGCCUUGUUGGUCCCGCCCUUGAUCAACCGCAGCAGGCACGCGAUCUGCCUCAAGUCGCUGCGCCCGCCACAAAAGUAGCCAUCACGGAGUUAAAGCGAGAAGGAAUUAGAAACGGGAGACACCGAAUCGAAGAGGAAAAGCUCGAAAUCAGAUGUGCGGCACCUGACGAAAUCGCCGUCAGAUUCCGAGCCGGAGCUGGAGCCGGAAUCGGAACCGGAGCCGAAAUCCACGGGGUGGCGCGGCCUCUUCGACGACCGCAGAGCCUCUUCACCCAGGGACAUCCUCCUUCCGCCGCCGGGACUCGCCGCGGGCCGCAUCGCUGGUCGACGAGCGUAGUGCAGCGCAAUUCGAAAUUUGGAGGGGGAGCGAGAGGGUAGUGAUGUAAUACUGGCAAAAUUUUGGUGGCCCACUCACAGUAUUGGCUUUUGUAAGGGAAAGUGUUCGUGCGCGCAAGGCUACGAGCAACUAGUUCCUCCUCUUGUAAUUUUUUUUUCCUUCGACGCGUCCGUUGAAGUGUUCGGCCGGUCGCGUUCCUUCCUCACGUUUUUCUUCCACCUUUUCCUUUUCCCCUCCCGCGCACACUCGGAUUUUUUCACUGUUUUAACCUUUUUUCUAAANNNNNNCACAAAAUGAACCAGAUUUGAAACCAUUUCACGAUCUGACCCUUUUAAAAACGCCACAAGCCGUGGCGUUGCUNNNNNNNNNNNNNNNNNNNNNNNNNNNNNNNNNNNNNNNNNNNNNNNNNNNNNNNNNNNNNNNNNNNNNNNNNNNNNNNNNNNNNNNNNNNNNNNNNNNNUGGACAAGAAUACAUGGAGUUACUCAAGCCAUUGAAUCAUUUGACUUUGUUUUCAAUCUUCACUUGAUGCUUGUUAUUCUUGGCUAUACAAAUGAGUUGUCCAAAUCUUUGCAAAAGAGAGAUCAAGAUACUAUUAAUGCAGUGGCACUUGUUAGUUUGGCAAAGAGUAGAAUGCGACACAUGAGGUGUCAUGGUUAGGAAGAAUUUCUUGCAAAGCUAACCCUAUUUUGCCAGAAACAUGACAUUCAAGUUCCUUUGUGGGAGGAUACUUAUGCAGGGGCAGAAUUAGCAUGGGUUCACGUCUAGGGCCAAAUUAGCUUCAGUGGUGUAUUUUAGAGAUUUUUUGUACUUAGUAAGUAGGUAUUACAAAGACUAUUGUCACUACACCUAGGGCUAUAGCCCCAUUUUCCCUAGGCCUGAUUCCAACAUUGUACUUAUGAGCAUCAUGGAAUAUCACGUUGGUAUAAUGAAGUUCAAACAAAUGAUGAUCGUUAUAAAAGAGAAGUAUAUCUUGGUGUCAUUGAUCAAACCAUUCUAUCCCAUGGACAUAUCAAGCACGGAUUUGAUAAGGCUAGAAUUUCAACUUGCUACUUUUAUUGAUGAUACGAGACAAGAUGAUAUUGGUGAGCUCUCUAUUUUACUUGUUGCAACAAAGAAUCAUAUUCUCUAUGAUUUGGUCUACUUACUCAUCAAAUUGAUAUUGAUUUUACCGAUGGCAACAACGAGUGUUGAAAGGGUAUUUUCUGCAAUGAAUCUAGUGAAAAAUAAAUUAAGGACUAGUAUGGGUGAUGAUCGUUUGGUGACAAUUAUUAAGCGAGAUGUGUUCAUGAAAGUAAAUGAAGAUGACAUAGUUGAUGCUUUCAUGACAAUGCAACGACGUAGAGUUACCUAGUGUUGUAAUUUUCUACUUCUGUUACUUUCAUGUAAGUCUUUUCUAUUGUAACUGGGCACAUUUGAAAUACAUUUUAUGUACUAAAUGGUUGUGAGAUUUCAAUUGAGCUAUUUAUGUUACUCAUUUGACAUAUUUUGAUACAUUUGGAUUAGGUAGGAAAAAAAUAGAGUGCGCAUGCCCUUUAUUUUAUUCCUGGGUACCCACACAAUGGAACGCAAAAAUAUCCAGCCGAGCGAGCAGUAAAUCCACCAUACGGGAUGUGCAUACUUAAUACUCCUACAUUGCAACAAAUAAUCGUGAAAAAAAAUGGAAAAAGAAACCAUAUGCGAUCAGGCACAUGACGAAGGAAGGGUCACAUGAAUGAAGAAGAGAGAAAAGCCACAUAUCGACCCGAAUAGCGAAGUGUGGGAGCCGCGAUGGCGGGCACUGGCAGCCAUACAUUGGGCUAUCCAAAAUCUCAUCUCUCGCCCAAUCCCGGCCUCACGAUCUCAAUUCUCACCCCGCGUGCACCACAAGCUCCAAUCCCCUAACUCGUAUAUACAGCCACGCCCGCCUCACCGUCCUUGAUCUUCCCCCCUAUCUGAUCGGAUCCUUUGGACAUGGCGUCGCCCAUGCUCUCCACGGCCAUGGCGCCACUCCAGGUAUUGCUCGUGUUCCAUUUCCAUUCCAUGCUUGCGUAGUAGUACAGUUCUUCCAUGUUUGUGACGCGCGGUGGUUAUGUAACUGGACUGCCAUGCAUCCUCUGUCGAUCCAGGGGGGCAUGCUGGAGUUCUCCGGGCUGAGGAGCUCGUCGUCGCUGCCGCUCCGGCGGAAUGCCACCUCCGACGACUUCAUGUCCGCCGUCUCCUUCAGGACAUACGCGGUAUGAUAUGAAUAUGAUGGGCGGAAUGUGGCUGUCACCUAGGAGUACGUAGCUCGCUUGGUCGCAUGCCAUGAGACAUGAGCGGCGCGUGGUACGGUGGUUGCAGGUGAGCACGAGCGGCGGGUCGCGGAAGGCGCCGACGGAGGCGAAGCUCAAGGUGGCGAUCAACGGGUUCGGGCGCAUCGGGCGCAACUUCCUGCGGUGCUGGCACGGGCGCGGCGACAGCUCGCCGCUGGAGGUGAUCGCCAUCAACGACACCGGAGGCGUGAAGCAGGCGUCCCACCUCCUCAAGUACGACUCCACGCUGGGCAUCUUCGACGCGGACGUCAAGCCCGUGGGCGACAACGCCAUCUCCGUCGACGGCAAGGUGAUCAAGGUCGUGUCCGACCGCAACCCCUCCAACCUGCCGUGGGGCGAGAUGGGCAUCGACCUCGUCAUCGAGGGCACCGGCGUCUUCGUCGACCGCGCCGGCGCGGGCAAGCAUCUCGAGGCCGGAGCCAAGAAGGUGCUCAUCACCGCGCCCGGCAAGGGCGACAUCCCCACCUACGUCUGCGGCGUCAACGCCGACCUCUACACCCACGCCGACACCAUCAUCAGCAACGCCUCAUGCACCACCAACUGCCUCGCCCCCUUCGUCAAGGUCCUCGACCAAAAGUUCGGUACGUGCCCGUCUCCCUCCCUCUCUCUCUCUCUCAACUGAAUCAACUUGUUGACGAUGACUAAUGGCGGCGGUGGCAAUGGCGCAGGCAUCAUCAAGGGAACCAUGACCACAACCCACUCGUACACCGGCGACCAGAGGCUGCUCGACGCGAGCCACCGCGACCUGCGCCGUGCCCGCGCCGCCGCCCUCAACAUAGUGCCGACCUCCACCGGCGCGGCCAAGGCCGUGGCGCUGGUGCUCCCCAACCUCAAGGGCAAGCUCAACGGGAUCGCGCUCCGGGUGCCCACCCCCAACGUGUCCGUCGUCGACCUCGUGGUGCAGGUCUCCAAGAAGACCCUCGCCGAGGAGGUGAACCAGGCGUUCCGCGACGCCGCCGCCAACGAGCUCAAGGGCAUCCUCGACGUCUGCGACGAGCCCCUCGUGUCCGUCGACUUCAGGUGCUCCGACGUCUCCUCCACCAUCGACGCGUCGCUCAGCAUGGUCAUGGGAGACGACAUGGUCAAGGUCAUUGCAUGGUACGACAACGAGUGGGGUUACUCCCAGAGGGUCGUCGACCUCGCCGACAUCGUCGCCAACCAAUGGAAGUGAACGCCCCCCCACAGCGGCAUUGCCCUGUCAAGUGACUCCUCUCGAAAUUUUCCCCAGCCGUCGUCACGGAUGAUCGAUUCUUUGUAAUGAGAAUUCAAAGUAUCGAGCUCCCAACAC